UUUUUUUUUUUUUGGUCUUUCAGUAAGGGGACGGUGAAAUUUAAAAAAUUAAAGAUUUUUUUAUCUCCCAUAGUUUAGAGACCUUAGAAUGGGUGUUGGAAAAGGGGGGAGGGGGGAGGAAUUGAAUUAGAUGGUAAGGUGAAAGGGAGUAGGCCUGUCAACGGGUCGGGUCUAGACCCGGAUCCGGACCGGAUCCGUGAAAUUUUUCCGGGUAUGGGUAGGGAUUUAAUUCCGUUUUCCGGAUCCGGAUCCGGAUCCGUUUUGUCAAACAAAAAAACGGGUCGGAUACGGAAUAUAGUAUUCCGGCCCGUAAUAGACCCGGAUCCGGAUAUAAAUGAAUUAAUAAUUUUAAAUAUAUAUAUUUAUCAAUAUAAUUUGAUUAGAGUGAUGUAUUUUAAUAAAGUUAAUUUGAUUUCUUUUCUUAUUUGAUUUUUUCUUUGCAUUAGUUAAAAAUUAGUUUACAAAUAUAUUUUUUUUCAUUUUUAUUAGAAAUUAUAAAUUUUGCUAAAUUUGUUCGGGUAGACCCGGAUCCGGAUCCGGGACCCGCCGGACCGGCCGGAUCCGGAUCCGGAACAUAGAAUAAAAGAUCCGUCGGGUAAACGGGUCGGAUCCGGGUCCGGCAUAGUAAUUCGGGUCCGGGUCCGGAAUAAUGAAUUCCGGCCCGGACCCGGCCCGUUGACAGCCCUAAAAGGGAGUCAAUCCUCUCACUAACAAGAAAAAAAAUGGAGAUGCCUUAGAACCCUUCAUUGUAUUUGAAAGGGGAAAAAAAAAAGACUCCAUCUCAUGGGAUCUUGUAAAAUGGGGCUGUUUCGCUUGAGGAUUAUUUGUAAUUUUAUGAUUAUUUAGAAUAGUACUUUUUGAUGAUAUACAUACAUAAUAUUGACAAACGUGCGUAAUAUAAAAAAAUAAUAGAAAAGAUAUUGACAAACGUGCGUAAAAAGAAUAAAUAGAUUGUUGUCCACACCCAAUAUUUAAUAUGCGGGAUAAGCAUCACAUUACGUGUUUUUGUGGAUUCUAACCGUAUGCUUCCCGAAUUUCAUCUACCAGCAAAAUGGGCACAUUAAAGCAAAUUCUUGGGCAUUGAUGCAACCUCCAACAACCAAUCUUGUGGUUCAAAAUAAAAAUAUGUUCUUUUUUUAAUGCAACAUGGCCUCAAUAAGGGUAUUUUCGGCAUUAAGGGGGUUUUUGUUAAAUGUUUGAUCAUUCAAAGGGUGAGACCAUUAUUUGGACAAAUUACAGGGAUUGAUUGGUAAUAUGGUCAAACCUCAGGAGAGGUAAAUGUAAUUAACCCUAAUCUAUACUACAUACAUAAGACCGAUGGACUUGGUCAAGCUAUUAACUUAAUGUUUUAGGAUAAAAGUAAUGUGUAAAUCUUUACCAUACUGAUAUUGUAUAUUUGUAAAUGCUAACGAGUUUGGGUGAAUGUCAAAGUGUGUAAAAUUUAUAAUUUAAAGUCAAAUUGAAAUGAUAUGCCAUUCAUUAUAAUUCGUUAAUGUAUAUACUGUAGAAAAGAUUAAUCCAAAAAUAAAACCUCAAAAGCAUGUUAGAGUUUAUUCUUUCUUGUUUUCCUUUGGACUGAAUGAAAGAAAGGUCCCAAAAGAGAAAAGAUUUGACAUUUACCUUCAAUAUUUAUAGCAACUUAAGCGGACAUUGGUUGCAUGGAGACACAAACUGAUUAAAAUGGUAUUAUAUUUGCGUAAUAUUAUUAAAUUUUGAGACGAAAUAUACUCCUUUUCUCUCAAAUAUCAAAAUAUCUAAUAUUUCAAAACAAAAUGUAUUGAUUGCCCACAGCCAUCAGGAAUAAAAUAAUUUGGGGAAGGGGAUUGCGAUAAUCAAAGUGGCAAAAAACAAGACAGAAAUUAGCUGGUUUUCAUUAUUAAGAAAUCUAAUUGUUAUUUUUAUAUUGGUCAUUAAGGAAUACAAAAGAAAGGAUUAAAAAGAAUGUCCGAUUGACAAAAACAUAAUUUAUAACAUAGGAUUUAUCUGUAUCAAUUCCAAUCAAAUAUUGAACUUAAAAAGAAGAUUAAUUUCUUUAUACCGAAAUAGUUUUAUAUAUUAGAUGAAUAUAUUAUUUUGAUUUGUUACUUGUUUAAUUUUUAGUUGUGUGGAUUUGUAACAAACAGAUAUUUUCCAAGUCUUAUGUCUUAUUUGAAUUUAUUUUUUAAUUAUCUUUCGAAGUUAAAUACUAGUUGUAUCAUUUGAAGUUUAGUUAGUUGGCGGAUAAAAGCACAAAAACUGUACCGAAGCAUUCAUUCAGAAAACAAACAAUGGCCCAUGCAGGUCUCGAACCUGCGACCUUCGCGUUAUUAACACGACGCUCUAACCAACUGAGCUAAUAGGCCGGUGUGAUUGCUAUGGCAAAAAGUAACCAUGACAUUGGAACGGCCGUCCACAGUAUACAUUUUACAAAGUAAACUUUGGAAAUUGGGGCAUCUUUCGGGACUCGAGAAAAUUAAAUAUAGUUUAAUCUCUUCUUAUUCAGACAAAAUACCCUCCAAAAUCCAAAGUCCCUUGAGAAAUUGAACCAAAAAAAAAAAAAAAAACUGAUAUUCUGAAUUCUGAUGCUCCAACCCCAAUGUCCAAAGUAGCCGUUGGUUAGUCCGCCUCAUGCAGUUCAAAUUCGAACUCGGUCAAGGACUCUAUUUAGUAUUUUCUUCCCAUUAAUCAAAUACUACUGUACUCUACUAUUCAGUCCCAACGCCCAGCCCCUUCCUUUCCUCCAGAUAAAAAAAUCUGAUAAAGACAAGAAAGAACAGAAGAAAUGUUGAAGGCUGCCCAAUCUCCAUUAUCCGACCACCAGAUCCAACGGCCGAAAAGUGGCCGGAAGCCACUGCAGCCAAAGAAUUCUCCGGCCACUCCUGUUGUCAUCACACCCCACCAAAAACCGAAGCAAAAUGCUGCAACUGAUCGGAUUGAGGUGUCAGUGUUGGAUAAUGACUCGAACAAGGAGAAUGUGAAUCCCCUUUUUGCCACCCCGGUGAAGAAUGAAGAGUUCAGGAUCGAACAAUUCGAUUCGUCCCUGGCUGAGGAGCUGAGUGCCAUUCGCGAGAAGCUCGAGAGGUUGAGGAUAGAGAAGGAGAAGACGGAGAAGAUGCUCAGUGAGAGGGAUUUGGUUCUUGAUUUGCAGAUGAAUGAGUUGCACAAGAGAGGCGAAGCUCAGAAGAUGCUCGAAAUCGAGGUUGAUAGGCUGUAUCGAUUGAAGCAGCUCAAGUUAUCUUGCAUGGUAAGAAGGAUUUAAGGGAAAAAACAGAACAUCUUUCAAGAUUCCCUUCAUUGCGUUUUAUCUGAGUUACUUGUUAGAUUUGAUAUUUCCAGCAAUGAUGCUAAUGUAAACUGUCUGAAUUUUCUUGGGAACAGGGCAUUUCGCCAAUCCGAUCGCUGAGAAAUAAGGCAAAAGAAAAGGGCGAGGCAAGUGAUCAGUUGUUAAACUUGUUUGGUCCUUGUAACUUUAUAGAAAGGCCCGUGUCUUCUAAACCUGCGUUCUCUGUUCUUUAUUUUUCAGGGAACGAAAACUGAUUACAGGGAUGAAGUUAACCAGGAGGAAAGCCUGUGAAGCUGAGAUCAGAAAUUAAUAGAGACAUGCAACUGGCAACAUAAUAUUGCCUGCAAAUUGAAAUUUGACAGGCACGAAUUAUAUAUAUAGCUCCUUUUUAACAAUUUUUGUCUAGUGGAAGAAGCAAAAGGGGAUGUGAAAACUGAAAACUGGUGUGGCAGCUAAGUGGUGGCACAAUACAUCAUUGUAUAGUUUCUAACAGAGCUACUAUCUCUACUGUAGAGAAAGAAGGAAAACAAAAAGUUUAUCUAAUUACUGUUUAUGUUUAUUUCUCUGUGUAUUUUCUCUUUAGAUUGGCUCUCUCAACGGAGGAAAAGAAAUUAUAAUAUGUUGCAGAUUAUCAUAAAAGCUUGAUGGAAAGAUGCAGGGCCAAGAAAAGAAAAGAUUAACUGGGAUGUCAUUGACAGCAUAUUAAGUAUUAACAGAUCAAUCAACAAUCAGUACCUUUAGUUCACCUAUCUGGGCUGGAUGAGAUGUCGUUUUGUUCAAAAUAUAUCGUGUUCCAUUUGUGAGAAGCAGUUGCUUUGAUGUGCUAAUCAAGAAAUAUUGCUUCAAUUCUCUGCUUGGAUAAUUUCUUGUCUUACUAGCAGUCUAGCAUAGUUCAAUUUUGAUGUCAGAGGAUAUGUUUCCUCUCGACCGUUAUUUUCCUCCGUAUAUGAGGAAACAAUGCAAGUAGAUUGACUUAUUUCCUUACUUGAUGAUGCUAUGAUAUAAUCCUUCCUCUUUGAUAAGGAAAAGCUGAAUAACAGCGCCUGAAAUCCUCCUCUGUUUGUUCUGUAUCAUGACUUGCCAACUUCGAUUCAAGGUGCUGUUGAAUCUGGUUUCUCUUCCACUUUUAUUUCCCACAUUUAACCACCCAUGAUUUUAUUUUCCGAAAACACAGAAUAAGUAGUUUUAAUCCACAUAAAUCCUAUCUUUCCUAGUACAACUAAGGUGGGGCACUUUGGUUCCUUUUUGUUUUUGCCCCCCCUAAACUCAACAUCCUUACCAACUUAACUGAAAUGGUCAGGCAACCAACACAUAAAUUAUCCCAAGUUCUAAACAAACACGCAUGAAAUAGGAAAUCACACGCUUAAGUGCAAGUCUAGUAAAAGAGUACCAAAACGGAAAAAAAAGAAAUGAUCUUUGGAUCAUAAUCCUCUUGGGGAUGGAGAACAAAUUGAUGGAUUGCAGCUUAUAACAAGUGCUGGAGAAUUAAGGGAUAGUUCUGUGGUCGUCAGAGCACAAAUUGACCGAUUGCAGAAUGUCAUGACAAGUGCUGCAGAAUUAGGGGAUAUUUUUGUGGUCAAUGGAGCACAAAUACAUGGAUAUGAGCAGAUAACAAGUGGAGCAGGCCAUGUUUGAAUGAAGGAUCAGAUGCAAAUCAGGCAUGAAGAAGGGAUGUCUCAAUGCAAGGCAAUGAGGGAUCAAGAGGCAAAUACUGCACCUACUAAUCAAAGGGCAGAUGAUGACUUCGGAGUUGCAGAUGAAUAUUCCAAUCUCAAUCAAAAUCUUGUACUAGGAGAUGAGAUCUACUUGAUUCUCCCUCACUAUGAUCUGGAUAACGGAUGGGAACAGUCCUACUCAAUAUCCGUGCUCAUCUUUUGAUGUGGAUCCCGCUCUCUUAGCUGUGUAAUAGUCUGAUAAACCCUGGCUUCCCAAAUGAAUCAGCAUAAAAGCAAAACAAAAAAAUUGUUAAAUGGUUGUGAAGAUUUUUUUUUUUUAAUCUGUGGCAGAGUAUAGGACCAUGCUGCAAUUACUCCAUUGGACUUUUUCAGUACCCGCUUGACUUGUUGUUGGUAGAAAGUUGGAAGAUCAAACCAAUGAAUAGCUGUAGCAAUGGUCAUGACUAAAUCAUCAUUUGGUUAAUCUCAGCUAUGUGAACUUUUCCACAGAAUUGGUUUACAUAUAUAAUAUAUAUGCAGCAUAUGCAUCCUAAAAACAAAUCAUAGUAGAGAUUCGUAAAAGAAAACAAGGUAUGUCUCUAAAUAUAAACAUAUUUCAUGUACAGAACUGGUUUUCAAUGGCUAUAAAAAAGCAGAGCUGCAACUCAGGGUUGAGUUCAACAUAUCAAGUUGCAGACAAAAGUUAACAAUUUGAACAACUAGGGAUCUACACAAGUUAACAUGAUGUGCAAAAGUACUAGUAUUAGAUUAUCUCUCCUUCUUCUACUUCCCAACAUAAAUAUGUGUCUUCAGCAUCAUCUGCUGCCACGAAUUCCUCCUUCAAGUGCAAGCCAAACUGUUCUGAAUGGUGCACAGCCUUAUCGGUCUUUAAGCCUUUCAAUACCAUCAUAGCCGAUCUGUUACUUCCAUGGACAACGUAAGAGGGAGAACACUGACUUAGUUGCUCAAGUUCCUGAGAAUCAUGAGAUUGUCCUCAAAGUCAACUGUGCUUUCCAUCAUCUGCAACGCAAAAAGGGCAGCUUCCCUUUCUUUUUGCCUCAAUUCAGCUUCUUUCUUCUUUAAGUGCUGCGCUGCUGCUCUUAUUGUUUCUGCUUUAAGCUCCUCCCAUAGCGCCAUGUUAUCGUUCCAAUCUUGAUGGACAUGGACAUCAAUUUUGUCAGCUUUUGCUGUAGAGAUGAUUUCAGAAAAGCGAGGUAUUAACCUAACUGCACUUAAAGCCUUCUUCAAAACGUAUUCGUCAUCAGGAUUUGGUCGACUUUUGCUGCAGUUUUGAUCACCAAAAACACCAAAAUUCCUUCCUGCUGCUUGGUUUUACAACUACUGAUUGCACCAAUCUUCUUCUUGCAGCGUUUCCAUCUUUUUAAAGUAUCCAAUAUUCUCUUUCUUUUUCCAUCCCUUUCAUGACCAUCUAGAAACCAGAAGUACUUGAGCAACUUUUUGAUCCUUGCUCCCAUUAAUUUGCGACGUUGAUUUUCUCCCCACUGGAUUGUUCUUCUUCCCGACCAUGCCGUUCUUAGCUACUCCCAUGUGCGAUGGUAACAACAAAAACCAACCAACCCAAGAAUGAUUGUACUUCUAGAGGUCCAAAUCUCCCAAACCCAAGAAUCAAACCAGAUAGUUUUCUGAAGAAAACCAAGAUAUAACUACUUUGUUACUACUUGCUAGGGAUCAAAGAAGGAAGAAGAAACUAGUUUUGGAUGAUAUGAAUAAUGAUGAAGUUUAUCGCUCCCUUCGGGUAGUUUGCUAUUCCAAGAUCAAGGAAUGUAACCCUCGAUGAUAUGAUCACUAUGUUCUUGAUUUCGUUGCGGCCUGUAGUUUAGAGUAACAAUGAACAGAAUCCUUAAAUACUAUACGAAACCGGUUGGAUUUAGGAAAGUGGAAGAAACAGAGGAGCUCGUGUCUGGCGGCAAAUUUCAAAAAUAGCCGUCAGAUUAUGGGCUUGAGUGUUUCAGCAAAAGACCUCUCUUAUUUUGCCCUAUACAGUUUUGGCCCAUGCUCACUUUGGGCAAUUGCAAUUUCUUUCUGCUUCCAUAAACUUGACACAAUUAUACUCAAGGGUUAAUCACAUUUUAUCCCCUUAAAAGAAUACCUCAUUUCUCAAUUUAUCCCCUAACCUUUAAUUUUGCUCACUUAACCCCCUUUAGGACAAAAUUACCCUUGCAUUAUUUUAACUUUUCAUUUAUCUUGUUUGCCUUUCUUUUAUUUCUUUUGCUCUUUCUUCUUUAUUUAAUUCUUCCUCUUUCCCACAAAAAUUUUCACCUUAAUGAUUGAAAUUAAAAAAGAGGAAUUGCAGAGAUCUAUUUUCUCCUUAAAUGAUUAAAAAAAUAUUCAAAUCACUUUCCUAAAAUACAAUUUUUUUAGUCUUUCAAUUCUUUUAAUUUUGGAUUUUCCUCUUUUCUUUCUAAUUUCUCAUUUUAUUCUUAAGAAAAUAUUAUAAGAUGAAAUUGUUUUCCUUUCUUUUAUUUCUUUUUCUCUUGCUUCUCUUUUUCAUCCUUUCCAAUAAAAAUUCCAUUUCAACGAAAAUUUUUGUUUUGAGUUUGUAAUUGCAUAUUUUUAGGUGAAAGUUUAAGAGACAUCAAAAACUAAAUUUUGAUUUUUUGUAUGAUGCCACGUGUCACAAAUUUCAAUUGAUGAUUAUUAAUCAGGUCACAAUUUCAUCUUAAAAUAUUUUCUUGGGAAUAAAAUGAGAACCUAGAAAAGAAAGAGAAAAAUCCAAAAUUAAAAUAAUUAAAAGACUAAAAAAAUUGUAUUUUAGGAAAGUGAUUUGAAUAUUUUUUUAAUCAUUUAAGGAGAAUAUAGAUAUCUGCAAUUCCUCUUUUUUAAUUUCAAUCAUUAAGGUGAAGAUUUUUGUGGGAAAGAGGAAGAAUUAAAUAAAAAAGAAAGGAAAACAAGGUAAAUGGAAAGCCAAAAUAAUACAAGGGCAAUUUUGUCCUAAAGGGGGUUAAGUGAGCAAAAUUAAAGGUUAGGGGAUAAACUGAAAAAUGGAGUAUUCUUAAAGGGGAUAAAAUGUGAUUAAUCCUAUACUCAAUCCCUCAAUCUGAAAUCACUCUGGCUCUUGAGUGGGGAACUCGAAAUUUACUUGAAUGCAUCUGUCUGCAUUUCCGCUUGCUACUCAGCCGGCUUUUUAAAGGGCUAAUUAUGAAAACUCCCCGUACGAUUUAACCAGUUUGCACUUUACCUCCUAGCGUUAUUUUUUUCUCACUUUACCCCAUAAAUCAUUAGUCAACUCUAACAUUACAUAACGGAAAUGUCAAAAAGACAUUCAUACCCUAAGGGCUAACUACAGUAAAUUCUCCUAAAUUAUAGCUAUUUUGUACUUUAUUGGCUUAUAUCAUUUUUCUCUUAAUUUGUCUAUUAGUCCUUAAAACCAUUAGUCAACUCUAAUAUUUUGUAUCACUCAACAUAAACUUUUUAGAUGCAAAAAAAAAAAAAGAAAAAUUUAGUAAUUCAAAUAAAUUUUAAUAGCAUAUAAGUAUAUAUUAAAAUAACAACUCUGGAAAUUAACCAUAUUUCUCUUUUUUAGUAUUAUCAAUAAAAAAAUAUGUAUACUUCCAUAUAAAAAUGGUCUAGCUAUUAAAAAAAAGUUUAGCCAUAUGCACAUUACUAAGGAAAACUAACAAUAUGCGGAUCAUUUUUAGACUUUUAAAAAUAAUUUUCAUAUUUUAAUUUUUUAAUAAUAAAUUUUUUUUCCUACUAUUGAAUCAUACUAGCAAGAUAUUCUCAUGAAUCUAAAAAAAGUGCAAUUAUGGAAUGAAAUUUAACUAGGACCAUAUAUAUAUAAAUUAUUAUAUUUUAUUAUUGUGUUAGGAAUAUUUAUUUUUUAGAUAUUAAUUGUUCUGGAUGUUAUCAAAUAUUGGAGUUCAUUAAUGAUUUUAGUAAUAAAUAAACAAAUUGAUAAAAAAAAAGGGUUAAUUGCACUUUAUCCCCUUUAAGUAUGGGCCAUUUCUCAAUUUACCCCCUCAACAUUUGUUUUUCCUCAGUUUACCCCCUUCGUCAGUCUAGCUAAGCAAUUACACCGUUAAAAACUUCAAGAUGCCAAAAUUGCCAUUGGAAGAGAGCCGUUUGUUUUGGAUGACUAAAAUGUCCCUCAAUGAGUUAUAAAAGGGGGUGUCUAAUACUUUUUAGCCUAUUUUUUCCCUCUCAUGUUUUUAUCCAGUUGCAGCCUAUUUUUUUUCUUUCAUUUUAGCAGAUCCAACAACUCCUAAAAUUUUUCUUUGUCAACCGAAAGCAUCAUAAAAAUGUCACAAAGUGUUUCAAAUAACGUUGAAAGAUCACCCCAAAAAAUGUGUGGAUGUGGUAAAGAGGCACCAUUGUACACCUCUUGGACAUUUGAAAAUCCGGAAAGAAGAUUUUACAGCUGCUCAAAUUACAAUGUAAGAAUUGUUCAUUAAUAAUCUGUUAUUAUUGUCUUUAAUUUUGCUCUGUACAUGAAUAAGUCAGAAAGAGUUUUAGACAGCUAUAUUUUCUUUUUAUUUAGAACUAGAUGCAUGUGGGCACUUUUCAUGGGUAGAUCCUGAAGUUUUUAGCAAAGCAAAAGAAGUGCAGCGCUGCAAUCUAGACUGUUGGGGCAAAAGGAGAAACUUAUGUAUUUGUAAAGGGAUCAUGAAGAAUUGGCAAAUGAGCAUGAAAAAUUGAAAAGCAGAUAUGAAGCCUUAGCAAUAGAAGUCUAUAUAUUAAAAGCUGAAAACCAACAGCUACAGCAACAAUACAUGAUUGUCAAAGCUGCUCAAUCUUUAUCAUGGAGAAAAACACUAGCCAUUACAUUUUUGAUUGCUAGCAUUAUGUAUAUGUACUCUAUUUUUGAACCAAAAGGCAAGAAAAAUUUGUUUUAUCUAAAUAUAUAUAUAUAUAUAUAUAUAUAUAUAUAUAUAUAUAUAUAUAUAUAUAUAAAGAUUAUAUUAGGUUAAAAGCAUUUUGCACAUCAGAUUACAUCUUAGCAUAUGUCCACAUGGCCACCCAAACAAAAGCACCCAAACAAAGGCCAUUUUAGUAGAACCUAACCAAAACAUGAUAGUAGAACAUGCCCAAAUAAUGGCAAAAGCAAAAAACAUAGGCUCAUUUCUAACAUUGUUGCAAAACAAGCAAUCAAGUACUAGUAAUGACAAAAACAGUAACUUAAUUUCACUGCACUACACAUCCAGGUAUGUGCACAACUAUUGAACGUCUAGUUGCAAUUGAAGAUCCUUGGCUAGAGAACACAACUUCUCCAAAUCUAGUACUCUUGGUUUGAACCUAUAGUCAUGGAUAAGGGGUAUCUUAGUGCAUCAAACUACUACUAGGGGUAGCAUGUAAACAUGGUCAAAAGAUUUGAACUCACCAUUCUAGUUUUAGCAUCACCUGAAUUGCUUUUUGAACUUCCAGUUUUAGCAUCACCCGAAUUGGUUCAUGGUCUUUAGUUGUUGCUGUAGUUUUUGCUUUUGAACUUGUACUUGGUAAGUUGAUGGUAGCAACAGUAGUAGUUGUACUUAAAUUGGCACCAGAUGUUGGUGUUAUUGUCCACUGUAUCAUCAAUAGCAAUAAAUAAGUGAGCACGUAUAAAAUGGCCAUGCAUACAAAAUUUUAAAAUGUAGGCUUACCAGUUGGGUUGGGGGGGAUUGGCCAGUCUUUGAAGUACUUGGAAUCUGCAUAAUAAAAAUAUUCUUUAAUCAGUGCAAAUGUAACCAAUUCAAUUAUAAAUGCAAAUAAAAAAGGAACUCACUACCUUAGAGUCAAAUGGGAUAUAUGUUUUACUUGUUGAUACCCUUUGGCCAUUCCAACGUCCAAUACCACAUAGUGGGCCAGUGUUGUGAUCCGAACCCCUACCCUUACCUCUGUCUGUAUCUUUAUCUCUCAUUUUAGCUCUAGUUGGGCCUUUUACAGUAGUAGAAUUAGUUAUAUCAGCACUUCUCCUAAUACUUGGAAUCAAAACAGGCUCAACAUUAUUUCUAGAGUAGCCCCUACCAGCUCUCCAUCCUUGUUUAGUAGGUCCUUAUACCUUACAACACACCAAAAAGUGACAGUCAGAUGUAAGCAGAGAAAACCCAACAAGCAUAUAUUGAUUGAAGUUACUUGUGCAUUCGCUGGUUUCCUUUGCCUUACAAAUGAAUAGCCGGUGACCUUGAAACUUCUGGUAUUGUGGUCAGUAUGACCACAAUGAAUACAGUGAAUUGGUAGCCCUAUUUUAAACAGUUUUUCAACAUGUAAGUCCUCUAAUGGAGCCUUUCUUCUAACUUUCUUAGGUCUACCCAGGGCUAUCCUCCUAUGAGGUGGGAGUAAUGAAUAAUUGCAUGUGUUCAUCCAAUUUGCUUGGUCUGGCAUAGGCAUAAUAACUCCAGCAUAUGCCUUUUUAUAUGUUUCCACUGAGUAGUAACUAUCAACAUAUGCUUAUGGACUUUUGUUGUCUUGCAUAAGUCCAACACAUGUAUGGACACAUGGAAUUUCUAUCAUAUCCCACUCAUUGCAUGUGCAAGACCUUUGAACUGCAUAAACAACAAAAGUUCAUGCUAUACUAGUUACCUCAUAAACCUCUCUUGUAGACACAAGUGCAUCAAACUGAGCUAAUUGUUUUUUCCUCUCUUCAAUUUUCUAACAAAUUCUCGAACAAAUGUGAGACUUCACCUUCUGAAUCCAGUCUUUUUUUUCUUGAAACCUGCAUAUUAUCUGCCUUCGAAGAGCUUCAAACAUAGUCAAAACCGGCUCCUCCCUAACAUCCUUAAUGUAUUGAUUGAAAUUCUCACAUGUUAUGACUUAAAAUGUCACAUUUUACCCUUGGAGACAAGGUGAGUCUGGCCCACAGGUUAGCUAGUAUGGAACUAAGCCAUGCAUGUUCUUUUGAUGCUACUGUUUGAAACUCUCUCAUUUUGCUUUCAUAGUGACUGGGCAAAUAAGCCCUGACUAUUGCCCACAUUAUAUCUCUUAGAUGCUUAUCCUUGAAUUUUAGCUUGAAGUUAGCAUACAUGUGUCUAACACAGAAUCGAUGCUCCACUCCAGGAUUUAAUCCCUGACAUAAAAAAAUAAAUCACAUAAUUAGUGACAUGAGUGAGCAAGGAAUAAAUGAAAAUAAAAUAGAUUGCAGUGGUGCUGACCUUUUGUCUAUCUGACAAAAAUACCCAACCUCUUUCAAGUGGAGUUCCAAUGGCAUCAGUAAGGCUGUCCAAAAACCACCCCAACUAUCUUGGCACUCAGACUCAACAAGAGCAAUUGCAAUUGGGAACAUCUAGGUAAUAGCAUUCCUACCAAUUGCAGACAUAAGUUGUCCUCCCAUGAUCCCCUUAAGGUGACAUGCAUCCAGCCCUAUUACAGCCCUACAUGCAUUUACAAAACCUUCCUUUUGUGCAGUAAACAUCACAAACAUUCUUUUGAAGAUUGGGCUUUUACAAAGUUGGGAUUUUUUAGUUACAAUAAAUGCCACUCUUACAUGCUCUUUUUUCUAAGGAGUAUAGCACAAUAGUCUCUUAAUCUUGCAUACUGCUUUGCACAUGACCCUUUGACUGCUUCCUUUGCAUUCUCCUUUGCUCUAUUCAUUUGAGAGUUUGUACAAUUGAGGUUAUACUUCUUUUUUAUGCUCUUCUUGUACCCUUUUACUUUCAUACACGGAUGGUCAGCAAUCUCCUCCAUAAACAUCUUAGACAGCCACCUAGAAUUUGCACUCUUGUUCUUGUAAGACCAUGGACAUUCAUCAGGUAGGCCUUUAAUGGACUUCACUUGGAGUGUAACUUUGCUUCUAUUAUAGCCACUAGGAUAUAUUCUCCAUCGACAAUUAUUUGCACAUAUAACUAUAGCUUUAUCUUUGUCAUUCUUAGUGAAGGUAUCUUCAAAUCCAUUCAAAAUUGAAUACAUUCUAACUGCAGCUCUAAAAUCAUAAAUGUUGGUGAGAAUUCUGUCUACAGUCAACUCAGGAUUUUUUAGAUCCCUUUCCCUGUUAAACUCAGGAAAUUCAUGCUCCAUGGCUUCAUCAUUUGAAUCAUAAAUUGGUUUAAGCAUUUCAUCAUCACUAAUAUCUUCAUUAUCGACCAUUUUUCCUUUCACUUUGGAGUUAAUGUAUGUAUUAUAUUCUUCACUAAUCAGUUCCAUGUACUUAGCAUAAUCAGGUUGUUUUAGGUGACAAUCUACUUCACCAACAUCCCUCUUUACCUCAUCUAUAGGAUCACAUGCAUCAUUUAAACCAUCCCCAUUUAGGAAAAAAUCAAAGUCAGAGUCAUAUUCAAAUUCCCUACAACUAUCCCCUUCAGCUUCAUGUGAAGCAUCUGAAGUAUCACUUUCGGCCUCAUUAUUUUGGGGUUGUUCAGUAUUAGGAUUUAGAUUUUGUUCACCAUCAAUCUCAAUAUUAUCUUCUACAAUAAUUUCAUCAGUAUGCAUAUCUUCUUCAGGGAUCUCACCAACAUAAAGUUGUAUGAUAGUUUGAGUUCUAUUUGUCACAAACAUUUCUAGAACUGUUUGGUCACUGUUUAACAGUCUAAGACCAAACUGAAGGUCAAGAUUCCCAACCCUGUAAUACACUGAUGUUUCAUGUGAAAUUCCAACUUCUUUAAAAGCAUCUCUUAACUCAAAAAUUGACAUCAAAUCAGGGCCAACAUCAUCAAAAUUAGCAACUUCUCCCCCCACAUAUUGUAAAUUUGGGACAUGGGCAAAAUGGCCCCCAUAGUGAACCUCUAAAACAUAGGUUUUAAAAUCCAUUUUUUUGUAAUCACACAGAUAAAGGCAAUUGUUUAGUGCAUGCACAGGUAAUAUAAAGCAUACAUCUUUUAUUGUCCCCAUAAAAAAAAUCCUAGUUUGUCUAUUUAACAGUCGACGUAUAACCAACCAAAGUAAACAAAUAAUCCAGCAAAUUAAUAAUUAAAAAAGACAAAAGUUGCCAAAAAUCCAUCGUUUUCAUCAUAACCCGACAAUGACAAAACAACAAAACAAGGGACCACAGCAACAGAUGAUUCAAACAAUAAUUGUCUACCAUAUUAAAGGCCAUGAAGCCACUAAAAAAACCCUUACCUUGCUAUUGUUGUUUCUCUACAAUACAAUUGGUUAAAAACUAAAAGUUUCUAAGAUCAAGAAAAAAUAGCAAAGCCGAACCUUAAGGGCUGCCCUUGCUACAAUCUACUUCCAUUUCAAAUUCAAUUCUACCUCUGCUACACAAGUUCAUCGAUUGACCGAUUUUUCCAUUCAAUAUUCUGGUGAAUUUUCAAGUUCUUUAAUGGAGGUUUUGCUAAGAAUUCAGCCAAAGAAAAAAUGGCUGAUAGAGAAGAGAGAAAAGAUGACCGACAAUGACAAAAGAUAGGGAACAUUUUGUCUUACGAAUUUCUUUUUUUUUGUCCCAUGUGCCAGAUGGAGGGAAAUUUCCCUCCUCCAUUAUUCCAGGGUAAUUUUGGAAACUUGUCUUUAUCCCUUUAUAAACCUAGACAUAUGGGCAUUUUGGGUUGUUCAUUAUUUUCUUAAGGAUAUUACUGUUUUUUCAUUAUUUGGUUUAUCUCCAUUGAGGUUGACCGUUAGUCUUUAGGGUAAACUGAGGACAAACAAUGGGAGGUAAAUUGAGAAAUGACCCAUAUGUAAAGGAGAUAAAGUGCGAUUAACCUUAAAAAAAUGAUGUUAGGGGAUGAAGUGCAAAACAAGCUAUAAUUUAAGGAGAUAUGUCGUAGUUAGCUCUUAGGAGCGUAAAUGUCUUUUUGCAAUCAUCAUUACACAAUGUUAGAAUUGACUAAUGGUUUAGGGGAUAAAAUGAGAAAAAAUUAAUGUUAGGGGAUAAAGUACAAAAGUGGCCAUACCUUUGGGGGAGUUUUUGUGAUUAACCCUUUCUUAAAUCCUGUUUUGUUAAUAAGGAAAUUUUUUUUUUUAAAAAAAAAGGGUACAAGAACAGUAAGAUUUGAAAUUUGAGCCGUCCCUUGUGGUCUAGAGAGGUUGAAUUAGAUAGAAUAAAAGUCCGAAAGGGAUCACUGGCUAGAAAACAAAAAUUGUUUUCAUAAGAAAAAAAUUAUGUGGUGCCUUCAAACUAGCAUUUCCUCAAUUUGUGUAUUUAGAUGAUAAAAAUAGUUCAUCUAUUAGUAUUAGAAAUUGUUACAAUCUAGGGCCAAAAAUACUUCUUGGUAUAUUUAACAAUGAAUUUAAUUUGAAGGUACGAUACUCAAAAGUGAUGAUAGAAUCACCCUACUUUUGAUAGCACAAUUGCUCCUUCUUUGGUUGAGUAAAAUCCUUGGUCUGCACAGGCUAGAUACUGAAAAAGAGAGGAGACUUUUACUAGAAAUUUAGGAGUUAUAAAUUUGAGUGGAACUUUGACAUGGUUUUCACAAACUCCUAGUCUAGUUUUAUGGUCAUUGCUUUUAUGGAUAAUGUAGAGUCUAGAUCCAGAUUCCCGAGAUCUUUCAAGAUCGGCUAAUCUCAAUGCGAGUUUCCUGCAUAGUAAGCAAUAAAGAUAGGACUGGUUCUCCGGUUCAAUUCUGAUACUUAAGUUAGCGAGUGUUUACAAUUCGAAAAUAUAAAAUCAAUUCGAAGGUUUGGUAGUAGUUAACUUUGGAAAUGAAGUAGAGGGGAUAUUUAGAAUAGAGCUGGGGAACACCCUUAGGACAAGAGCUAUUGUGAUAGGACCAUAGUUAUCAAUCCGGCCCGGCCUGACGGUUUAACCGAUUAACCCGAUGAACCGGCCAUGAAAUCGGGCUGGGUUGUUAAUUGGAUCGUUUGUGCAAGAAACCAGUUGACUUGUCAACGGACCGGCAAUUCAACCGAUCAAUUUGGUUGAACCAAACGGUUUUGUAAGAUUCCAGUUGUUGUGUUAAAAAUUUUUAGAAGAUGUUGCACUAGAGAACUGGAGAAUUAAAAAUUUUUAGAAGAUGUUGCACUGGAGAAUCGAAUCUUGGACUUCAACCACAAGAAUGAAACGCGCUCACCACUGAACCAGCAAGUCAUUGGGUUCUUGUUUAGCCCUUCUAUAUUAUAUAUUACACCUUUAUUCUUAUUUUAUUUCUUCAAAACAAAAUUUGUUUAGAAUCAUUUAAUAAAAUUUUAUUAUUCCCCAAAUUCUAUAAGUUAUGAAUGAAUUUAAAAUAGCAUAUUACACAAUUCAUUUUAAAGACAAAUAUUAUUCUUAAUAACUUUUUGCACUUUAAAUUCGUAAAUAAACUAGAUAACUACACUUAGAUAAAAUGUUAUACUUGAAAUUUGGUGGAUUACUAAUUAAAUUUAGAUUUUGUUAAUUCUUAUAAGAAUUAAUGAUUUUAUAAUAAAUUGGACUAACUGAGUAUUUACCAUGACAUAGUUUAUUAUAGUUUCAACCAUAUUAAAAAUUAUAAAAUAUAAUAUUUAAGUAUAUUUAGUGACCCACUGGUUGGACCACUCACCCACUAGUUGAACCAGUAACCCGUUGAUCCACUUCUUUUACCGGGUUCCUCCUCGGGUCGGGUUUAAUAACUAUGGAUAGAACAGAGUGUAGCGAUAGGUCGGUUCUAGGUCUAUUAUAGCAGGAGGAUAGACUUGUCAUAGUCUAUAAAGUGUCAUGUCAAUCACUUCUUGUCAGAGAAAUACUCGACGGCCAAAACCUCAGCUAUAAGUAUAUUUCACCAGACAGAGGGUUCAAGGAAGGGGGAGUUAUCUCGGAAGAUAAUCCCAAUUACUACAGAUACUGGCAUUUAUAAUAUGCCACUCUAAGGGUUCGUUUGGGAGUGGAAGAUUUGGAUAGAAAAGAAAGGGAAAGAAGAGAAAGUUUACUUUUGCUUCAUUUGUUAGUUUUAAAUAGAAAAGAAAAGAAAAGAAAUGGAAAGAUGAAUAGUUAAGAAAAUGCUUCCUCCCAAAUCGGAAAGAAAUGGGAAGAAAGUUUGGAGAAAGCUUGAUAUUUUUUUUAAAAUGCCUAUUUUGUCCAUAAAAAGGUUUUGAUAAAUAUUUAAUGACUUUUAUGUCCAAAAUCAUUCCACUAAUUCUCAAAACUCCCAAACAACAUAACAAUCUCUUCCCUUCUCUUCUCUUCUUUCGUAACUUAAGCUUUCCCUUCUUUUCUUUUCUAUCCUAAACUCCCAAACUAAGCCUAAGUCUUUACUUAGCAGAUAAUGAAGGAAAUUAUGUUCCAUUCAACUGUAAUUGCAACUUCAUAGGCUUUGCUUUCCAUCAACUCGUAUUGGUACCGUCAGGCUUUGCUUAGCAAACAAUGAAGAUUCUCUUCUUGCUUUGUUUUUCCCCUUAAUACUUUAUGGUCUUGUUCUCGGUUGCUUUAUAUAUUAUAUCACUUAAUUAUGGAAACUAAUUAUACAGCAAAAUCAAAAUCAGCAAAAGCUACUCUUUGGGUGAUUUUGGAAUUAACCUUUUUUAGUAAUUAAAAAAUUUAUAAUCAAAACACAAAAAAUAUCACAAAAAUCGAUUAUCUAAAAACAGAAUCUAUAUUCAGUUAAAACAAUCAAUCGAAAACAGAUCCUAUGUUAUCUAAUCAUGGGUGAUUUUCGAAUUAACCAUUUUUAGUAAUUAAAAAAUUUAUAAUCAAAAUACAAAAGUAACUAAAAAUAUCACAAAAACUUAUUACCUAAAAACAGAAUCUAUAAUCAAUUAAAAUAAUCAAUCGAGAAUAGACCCUAUGUCAUCUAAUCUGUUCCAGGUAUCCUGUAUCGAUUUUUAUUGGUGACAAAUUUACAUACUUUGUUCGAAUGACAAUGGAUGGCAGUCGUUGGCAUUUUGGGCCAUUUUAGGUACAUAAUUUCAUUCAUCCGGCCAUGCUAACAAUACAAAGCAGUUUGAGCAACAAAAUCGCUUUUAGUUAAUAUUUCAAAGUCUGGAACUCUACACAUGAUUUUGCUUACUAUUUCAUGAAUCCGAAUUAAUUGAGUAAAUCAUCAAGAUUUUCAACUUUGACGGAAUUGAAAAUUGAAGUCAGUUUGUUGCUUGUACUUUUGAAGGAACAGGAGGGUAUGGAUUUUCCUGAACUUCGAGGGCUUACAUAUAACGAUACACAGAUGGAACUUGGGAAGCUUUGAAUUCUUGAACUAUUCAUUCCUCUACCAACUGAAUCGAUCUAAAAUUCACCACAUUAGAAAAUCAAUCGUCUCUUUUGAUUGGCUAACAAGAUAUUAUAUGCUGGUUUACAAAAGAAAAUGAAUAGGUAAACCGCCUAUAACAAAGGCAAAAUUUAUUACAAAGGGAAACACAAUAACAUUACAAAGAACAGGAAAAACAAAUCUCUUUUCCAGAGUUAUUGCAAAACGCAAGCUAAUAGACUAGUACUGCAUCCAAUUAGUAAAAAAGAACGUGUCAUGCAUUAGAGAGAACCUUUCAGAGCUUUCUUUCCAGUUAGUCAUCCAAUACUACUGGUUCCCAACUUUCCCGAUCCUCAUAUAAACAGGCCAAGUAGCAAUCUUUUCUUGUUUGCCAUCUUCAUUCCAAGCAAGGGUAAAAUCUUUCACCAAAUCUUCACCCAAGAGCUCAACCCCAUUUUCUUUUGCAGCUUGGUAUGCAGACCAUGAUUUUAUCAAAGUAAAAUACCCAUCCAAAUCGAUCAAUUUUUCCAUUUUAAGCUCAAGUGGCCCUGUGUUUUCAAGUCCAUCCACUGGCUCAAAUGGGAAGUCAAUGGUCCUGUAAUUUUCCUCCAUUAUCAACUUGGCCGGUGGCCCCCCAAAUGGAGCAGCACCAACGUAAUACAAUUUAGUUAAAAGGGUGUCAAGAUUUUUGUUGAUCCGUGGCAGAGUAUAGGACCAUGCUGCAAUUACUCCAUUGGGCUUUUUCAGAACGCACUUGACUUGUUGGUAGAAAGAUGGAAGAUCAAACCAAUGAAUAGCCGUAGCAAUGGUCACUAGAUCAACACUUGAUUCUGCUGCAAUACUUUGCUUAAGCUCAGCUAUAGACAUCUUCGGAGAGGUGCAAUGGUAUUUAAUAUUUGGAAGCUUCACAGCAUGUUCCAGUUGCGUUGGGCUUGUAUCUGUGGCUACCACAUUCUUGUAUAUCCUGGCCAACUGAUAAAAAUUCACCAAUAUUAUUCAAAGCCACAUUCACAUGAUUAAAGUUUUGUUCACAAAUUUGGGAAUUAUUACCUUAGAAAUUAGUUUACCAUAUCAGUUCAUAUUUCAUAUGGUUCUAUAAUCCCAUCAGACAAAACCUUCAAAUUGAGCUUUCAAGAAGGUAACCGGGAGGACCACUUUAGGGGAAUUUGUCUACUUCUAAAAUUGAGUUUUCCAGAAUCAUGCCCAUCAACAAUGAGGUAUCUAUUGAAAUUCAACAAAAUUUUUUCCCUAAAACAAUAGGUUGAACUGGUGAAAUGCCGUAAGAAUCUAAAAAAAAAAAAUUAUCAGUGAGUCCAAAUAACAAAAUCUCUAACAUAUGAAAUUUGUUUAAAAACUUGGGAAUCCUUGAAGCCAUGAGGCUAAUUCUCGUACACAAAUUAGAAAUAAGGGGAGGAAAGUGGUCUUACAGAUGUUGCAGCCUGGCCACUUCCUGUCCCAGCAUCCCAGACAAGGUCGUGACAAGGUGUCUUGGAGGCAACAAACUGGAAGAGCUCCUCAGGAUAUAUCGGCCGGCUGGCAGAGUACUCCUUCGCCUGCUUAACAAACCGCUCUGCCAUCUCUGUGGAUCGGUGGUGGGGGGUUAACUUAUAUGCAAAUGCUAGUAUUCUUUUGCUGUCUGAUGAGUGAGAUGAGUUGCAAGCCUCUGUGGCCCUUUUAUAGUGGCAAACGCUAGAUUCGGACUUGCUUAACCGCGUGUUGAUCUUUGAAUUUGAUUGGCCUAACCAAUUGGUUUAUGUUCUUCAGGUGCCAUCGCUAUCCAAAAUAGUCGUACGAAGCAGUUGGAGGUCAAAGGGUACUAAAACGAAGCAAAGUUCGCUUAGGCAACCUUCGAGCUGACUUGACCACCACAGAGGCAAGUGGAACGUCAUGGUUCAAAAUUUUAUCUUUAAUGACUGUUAUUUAAUGUGACUUUUUCUUUUCUUUUUUUUUUUUUUAUAACAAUGUGACUUUUUCUUAGACCUAGCCAAAUAGGAAAUGAAGGUUUCAAAUCUUGCAUCUUGAAAUUGCUACUUAACGUGGCUUUUUUUUUUAAGAUGCAUAAUACAUUAAUUUUAUUCGGUGGUAAUUUAAUCCCUUUCAAGUAUCUGAUAAUUGAUUUAAAAUUUUUCUUUGAACUAUAGGUUGGGGAUUUCAAACCUCAAACAAGUUGGCCACUACAAGGAAUUUAAAAUCCCUCUUUGGAUUAUGAGUCGAGGAGGAUUCAAACCCUGCACUCUACAAUUGAAUAAAUUCAAUGAGUGUGGUAGAGUUGGGAUAGUGUAGAUGUUGCCGGUUGACUAAGAAAAAAAAAAUAGGCAAUUAAAAGUGUAAUAAUUAAUUUUUUGACUGAUAGAAAUAUUUCCAAAAAAAAAAAUUGUCAAACCCACUAAUUUCAUAAUAAAUAGCAGUAACAAUCUAAAUAAAACUAACUGCUAAUGGACCUUAUUGUCAAUUGCGAGCAUUAGUAAGGUUAGACUUGAAUGUUAGGAUGCAAGUUUAGUGGAAGUGGUAAUUAAAAGGUCUCAAGGCACCUGGUAGGUCAAAGUCAUGGCGGCUCUUUGUCUGUAUCCUAAAGUUUUCCGCGUGAACAAGUCACUGCUGUUUCUGUGAUUGCAAAGAACUCUUCACAACCCUUUUUUCUUUUUUUUUUUGGAUAGAAAGAGCGAAACAUUUUAUUAAUAUCAAACUAAAUCUGCUUCAAGAACAGAGAUAAUAAAACAAGGUGGAGAGUCAGUCCACAUACAAUAAUCUGGGAUUGAUAAUGCAUACUUAGCUAAAAGGCGAGCAACCUUACUGUUAUUUCUAAGAGCCCAAGAAAUCUCCCAAGCCAAGAAAUUGUGCAAGCAAAAAAAAUGACGUCUUCAAUAAGAAUACCAGAGUGAGAAUCAUCGGGUUCAAAGUUUUCAGUCAUCUUGAUCACAACUUAUGUUAGGUAUCACAGAUUUAGGAUUUCUGUUAGUACUCAUAGUGAGACCUAUGCAGUUUAAAUGAGGUACAGAGAAAUGGACAAGUGGUUAUUUACAGACAAAACAUUCUUUUACUCUCUUGAUUGCUGCUGUAUUAUAUGCCAAAAUGCUGUCCUUCUUAUGUAUGUAUAAUAAUGCAUCACAACACAUGAUAUCAUAAAAAUGCCAAAAUAAAUAAUCCCACAAAAUUUUCCAAAUAGUCUUUGCUCCGAAUGAACCCAAUAUGGCCUCUACAAUACACAAGGUAAGGUGGCAUUGCCAUGUUUAUAACAUUCUAGCAAAUUAUUAUUUGCUGCAAACCCAGAAACACGAGCCAAACUUGAAUCAGAUUCAAAAGCAAAAGAUUAGUAACACAGUAAACAAGACAGAAUAAAGCCUCACUUAAGAGGAAGAUGUUGAAUUGUCUGCCAAAAACUUCGAACAUGGCGAAUUGGAUAAUCAUGAAGCAUACACAAUUUCAUUGCAGUAAAGAUUUCUUUACUUUCAUACUGUGCAUCUUUCUAAUCAUUUGACAUGAAUUAUCUCCAUUCAAUCACAGCUUCUCCCAUAAUACGAUUAAAAACACCUUUACAGAACAAAACAGCAGUCCUUUCCCUCUAUUUAAAAACAAAUAGAACUUAAUAAGCAAUUACUUUGGGAACAUACACAUAAAAGUCACCCGCUAGAAGCCAGGGCAGACUGCAAGACUUCUUCAAGGUACUUCUCGGCGGCAGCAUAUUGCCUCUUUUUAUCCUCAAUAGCUAAUACAGCCAAUGCUUUAUCCUGUGAAAAAAUAAUCAAAACGUAAGAGGAGAACGCAUAAUUGCAACUAUAUAAAAUCAUUAGAUAAAAAGAUGAGCUUACAGGCGGCAAGUCUUGAUAGCUUCUCAAGGUGUCAAGUAUAGGUUUUGUUUUUCUCUCCAAUUCCUUUCUAUGCUCUGCCAUUUCGGCCAAAACUCCAUGACUUAUCUCUGGACUGUAUCCCACACGAUUGAGCAUCGCCUGCAUUACAAAUGUAAAAUUCUAAGAUAAAAGUACCACCUGCACAAAAUCCUAUGAUUUGGUCAAGUCUCUGGUCUGGUGCUUAGUCGUACUUACAAGGUUACUUUUAUUGGUAGGUGAGAAUAAGAAAUCACUCAAAGAAGGCAAAGAAGAACUAAGAGAAAGCAAAAUUAGCAUAUAUUUUCCAUUUAUAUUAUUUACUGUUGGACAACUAGGAAGGAUGCAACUUCAAAACAGAACCAAAUCCAAAGAUGAUGUUCGUUAUCUCAAUAACACAUGAAACCUCAGAAGGACAUAUACCAAAUUCUCAAAGGCAAAAUUUACAAACAAUGACACAUAUAAUAUGAAACAUUACAGAUAAUAGUUUGACCAAAACACCGUAAACUUGUGUAUCUUUUGGUUCUAACACCUUUGAGUAAGAGCAAGAAACUGGUAUUUCAUACCAGUUAACGAUAAAUUACACUAACACCUAAAAUGUAUCAACUUAUCAGCACUCACUUGCCUAUAGAGUAUGCCUUGACUACAGUUCAUAUCAAUGAGGAAAAAGGAACAGAACAAAGAGUACUAAAAUCAGCAAUAUUUUCCACAUUAAUGCACCUAAAGAAACAUGUCUAAACCUACAGUUCAAGCACAAAUCAUGAAUCAACUGAAUAUAGCCUACCUCAACUAUAUGGUUGCAGGUCACUCAACACUAAAAGCCAAUGCAGUUGAUCUUAUGCUACAGAAGUAAAGUAUUGAGAUGACAUGUGUCAGCUUAGCAUAAACAAAUACCUAAAAGGCCCUAUAAGAUUAAGCAAAAAGAUCUGUUUCUUACACAUCUUAAAAGAAGAUUUAGAUUUUAACAUGAAGAAAAUAUCUUUUUGCUUCCUGAAACUUUCAGUUUAAUUUGCAAGAACUCAUGAAAUUAAAGACUAUGAUACAAUAACUGUUGACAAAAACACGUAGAAAUAUUAUAAAUCAGUUAUGUAGGUUAAAGCAAAACACAAGUAUUCAUUUUGGUUACCAGACAGUUGCAACAUUUAAAUUAGUGUUACCUGAAGCUUCCAAGGCCAAGAAGGCCACCUUUCCAUGAGAGGAUUGUCACCUAAAUAUGUCAUAUGGUUCUUACCAUAUCCUCUCCUAUCAUCAAUAACGGCUUUAUAGUAAAUCCCUGGCCAUCAUUUAUCUCUUGUUCCUUUAGAGUUCUUCACUUGGAAGGAUAACGAAACUACUACAGAAGCUUUAGAUUUAGGCAAAGACUGUCAAAUAAACUAUUUACUUUUACUCAUCUAACAGCUUGAAAAGAAGAUUUAACAAAGAAGACAGAAUCUAAUGCUAACAGCUAACUACUCGUACCAACCCCAAGCUCCAAAUCAAAGCAGCCAAGUAAUAUCAGACAUUAUCUACCAACGUUAGCAGCCAUUACCACAAAACUUGUUGAAAAUCAACAAGACGCCCUCUCUUACUAUGAAAACAGACAGGAUUGGCACUUUAUCCUCAAAAAUUCUGAAAUUCUUAGGUCAACUACACCUGAUGCCAUACCAAAACCUUAACAGAUUCCAUCUCCCACCCAAUAGAAGGCUAUUCAUCUUAUCAUCUCCCAUUUCUUUUCACUGCUCUACCAAACAGCACUGAUUAUUUGCCUCUUUUAAUUGAAUAUGCCAGAGUAAUUUAUAUGCUAAGAGCAAAUCCUUGGAACAUGGAAACAAUUACAUCAUAACCCUAAGAAAUAUCAAGCAAAAGUUUUCCAAGCAGAAAAUCAGAAAUAUCCUGCUCUAUACACAACAAAUUCCAAGAAUUUUGAUCCUGAAAAAACUGUGAAUCUCAUCUAACCCAUAAUCCACAUAACUUCUAUGCACCUUUUUAACCAAUUUACAUUCUGUCCCCCAACGAAGACUACAAACUUAUAAGACCAAUAUAAAGCACACUAAGAAUCAUUUAAAUAUGCUGAUCAAAGAAGGUAACAGUGUUUGGUGCCCUGUAUCCACUCUUACUUUCUGGAAAGAUAUACAACUAUAAUUCAAGCAGCUCCCUGAUUCCCCUUCUACAAAAGGCUAAGAGCGUUUCACCAGAAUUAUUCAAUAUCAUCUCAAAAUGCACCAGUAAGCCCAAAGUUCUGGAUUCCAGCAGGUAUCAAACACUCACCCAUUUUAGCUUCUUGCACAUCAUUUAAGUGAUUUUUGACACCAAAUGACAAGCAUGUAAACUAAGCAAAACACCUAGUAGGGGUGUGCAAGAAGCUAAAAAGGCUGUGAGAAUUUCAUUGCCCCUUAAUUUAUAGCUAAAAUUUCAAAAAUCCCACUGCAUCGACCCUAAACUCGUUUUCCAAUUUCACGUGAUUUAAAAAGUACAGACAAGAUUAGGAAAAGAGGUAUUCGUACAAAAAUAAUUAAAAAGCAAAAUACAUGCUGGCGUUAUUCCGAAUAUAGAGGCUUUGUACACAAAGUAGGAUUAACCAAAAUAUCAGCUGCCAUUCCACAGAGAUAUAGCUCGCCAACCGCCAUUGAAAAUUUUUGUGACAUCCAGCAAAUAGAUACAUUAAUAAAUAAAAAGGAAAUUAGAAAAUGCAGUCUCAUAAGCCAGGUAGAAACCACAUUGGAAAAGCAUCACAUAAUCAUCUCAUCUAUUAACCAUAAAAGAAAACUUAUCUAACAUUUAGAAAUGGUAAAGUUCCCUAAAGAAGAUACUACCUUGCAGUUAGAAAACUGUUUCUCAUACUGGCGCUCUUUCGAGUCCAUAAUAGCCAAAUUUGUUCUGCGACUUUCCAUUUCUGCUUCACAGGGAGCUAUAUCGUCUUCCAGUUGUGCAAGUAUUCUACAAACAAACACAGGAUUAGGAAUGUACAAAUUGACCACAAAGCUCAACAUUGACUAUUGCUCCUAGAGAAAAUCCAAGCAAAGGAACCUAAAUUUUGUCCAGAUGGUGCAUAAGAAGAUAUACCUUUUUAAAUAAGUCAACCUUGAGAUUGCCUUGCGAGUAAAAUCGAGGAGUACUUUUGACUCCUGCUGCACUUUAGACCUCUUCUCUUCUACAGCAGUUUUCCUUAAGGAAAGAUCUGCCAUUGCUACAAGGAAACUAAAAUUUCCCCCACAAGAUAAGCUCAUUGGCACUUAAAAUGGAAUACAUAAUUGAAUUAAAUUGGGAAAAAAAAACUCACCUACUUAAUUCAGUAUCUCUGAUAUUCAGUAAAUUAGCUACACUGGCAAGAACUUGUGCAGAGGACACCACAUUUGAUGGUAAACUCUCUUGAGCCAAACCCACAUGCUCCAAUAUCUCUCGUAUCCUCGCAGCUACAAUCACAGAACAAUAAACAUUAGAGCCAAUAAAAUGAAACAACGUCCCAAAGACUAAUGCAGCCAUUUUCCUUCUAUUUCUGACUGUGAAGGUCAGUAAACAAUACUUCCUAUUACAAGCAUGGCUGCACACAGUUAAACAUCAUCGUUAAAUUAACAACACUGGUUUAUAAUAUGAUAUCUAAAACUACAAGAACACAAAAUUUACUGUAAUUAUAUAUAAACAUGGAAUAGAAAUUUAAGAAAUUAAAUGAAGGCAUAACAAAAGCAUAUGUCGAAGAAUCAAGGACCUUGGGCGCGAUAUUCAGUUGCUUUCUGGCGAAAGUCAUUGGCAACAAUAGAAGCAGCUUGAGUUUUGGCUUGGGAAAUGGUGGCAAUGUUGUGCAAAUGAGCAAUGCUUCUAGGGGUGUACUCAAAUUCAGGGACUUCUUUUCCAACUGCACUGAAUUGGGAUUCAAGCCAUGAUUUCACUUCAGCAAUUCGAUUCGCAUCGAACCCACUACUGCUAUUCUUUGAUGCUUCUGAUGUAACAGAGGGCGAAGGAUCUCCUCCACCAACAAUUUCACUCAUUUCUCUUCUUUUUCCCCUCAGACCUAUAAGAACAAAAUAAAAUUAACAAAUUAGAAAUCAGAGAAAUCAAGAUCGGAAAUUUAUGGGACAAAUAGCUGUUUAAAAGUUAAGAUGCAAAAACCCAUUUUUGGGAUUAGUUAUCUGAAAUGCUUUUUCCCAAAAAAAAAAAAGAAAAAACCAUGUUUUAACUUUUGAAUUACUAUGGAACAACCACAUUAUACGAUCUAACAUAUCAAAAAAAAAAAAAAAGAAGUAAGUACUAAUGCUGUUGAAUUCCUUAAGCAGGGACUUUGAGUCAGUAACAAAUGACUAAUCAAAGAAAAAAAAUUCAUGAGAAGAGGCCAACUAUGGGGAAAUGAGGUGGACUUGGAAGGUUACUUUUGAGGUUUUCUCAAAUGGGUCCGGGAAAUUUUGAGUAAAAAUGAAGUUUUUAAGAUGAAAUUUGGGUUCUUAAUCAUAUGAACCCCAAAUAUACAUAAAGUUACUGACCAAAAGAAAAUCUGCACACAUUUGCAGAGACAGAGAGAGGGAGAGAGCGAGAGGGAGAGGGAGCGACUUGAUGAAGAAGUCUAUUGAGUGGAUUUGAAGUGAGAAAUGCCGGCUUCAGAGAUUAUUUUAAACGGCUUUUCACAGAGCACAACCUUUGCUUUUGAGAAAAUUGCUGAAAUAGUCUCUGAUUUUUUUGAAAAAUCAGACUUUGGUCUUGAAUCCAUAAAACGUAUUUUAUCACGAAUUUUGUUUCUUUUUUUUAGGUAUUAUCUUCAAAUUUUAUGCCAAGCUAUUUUCAUAACAGUGGAAGAGAGUUGUACGCUUGUCCUAUCUAUAAUUUGAAGAAUUUUUCAAAAUAUUUGUAUUUUACGUUCCGAACAAGUUAUUUUUAUAGUCAGUUACAUUUAUAUUAUUAUAUGGUGUUUGUUAAGAUAGACUAAUACAAAAUUACUUUUAUUAUUACAAUUUAGGGCGAUAAUUAAACUUUUUAUUUUCUUUUUAAGAACAAAGAGUGAUUGCUAGCUUUCAAAUCAAGAAAUUUAACUCUUUUAUCCUUCUUUUUUUUUUAGCUAAGACCAUAGACCAAUGAGCUUUAAUUCUUAAUCACAAGUUAGUCCAACCAAUUGUUAAAAAUCUCUAACAUUAAUCAUCUCCAAGGAUUAGCAAAGCAUUAUUGGUUUGUCCAGUUCAUUAUUGAAGGAUAGAUUUUCCCGUUAACGUCAUUCUUUAAUUUAACAGCUCAAAAGCCUUAGUGAAGCUAGUACUGGUUUGUUCAGUUCUUAUUGUAAAUCUGUAUGAAAAAUGUUGCCAGUUUGUAGUUACAUGUACAACAACAGAUAAGGCCGUUGGACGUGUGGAAACAAAUUAGGCUCAUGGGAGAUACAUUACAGAUUAGGCCGUUGGACUGGUUUGAGGCAGCUCCUAACCAGGCAUAAUUUUGCAGACUUUCAUCUUGGAGCAACAAUCCUCACAUUUCGCCUCUGAACUGUCCUGCAGAAAAAUUGAAAUUGUGUACUGCAUGGCCGUUUUCGCUAAGACUUCUGAUAAAAGAUUUUGAUCACCAUUAACAAGAUCAAAUACUUCGAUACCUUUCAAUCUCAUAAACAAUACAAGGAACUUCCAUAUGAAUCUUCCCAGUCCAAAUAUAACCUAGCAACAACAUGCUCAAAUCAGCCUUUACUAACCAGCUAAUAGUUAACAGAAAGAUAUCGCCAUCCAGUUAAAUCGCCUGAUGGAAGUAAAGGAAUGGAUAUAAAAAAGAAAAAAGCAGCAAAAGCAAAUAGAACAAUCCAUAGUUAAAAGAAAGAGAGAGAGAGAGAGAGGAAUCUGCAAUUAAAACAUUAACAGUACAUAAGAGUUGAUAAACUUUCUGCAGCACUUAGAAGAAUUUACAGGACUAUUACAGUAAUAUUUAGCAGUCUACAGAUAGCAUCUCUACAAACAUUCAGGGCAAGAUUGAGCUCAACAUCUAUGAUCACCAAACACAUCUGUAGGUAACGUGCGUCUCAGUGAUCUCGUUAUUGUAGGUAACCUUCAACACCUGCCCCUUUUCAAGUCCAUAGUAUCGAGCGAUUGCAUCUUUUUGCAACAUCCGCGGGAGCUGAAAAAUGGUUUAGUGGAUAUGUCAGAGAAAUUCCGAUUUAAGAAUGAAAUAACAGCUGCCUCAGAUUUUUUUUUUUUUUGGUUUUUUUGGGGGGGUGGGGGUGGGGGAAGAUGAAGCUGCCUCAGGUGAAAUCUCAGACAAAAACUUCACAUUGGAAGUAUUUUUAACGUUUUCAGAAAGCAUAUACAACUAGUCCGGGAAUCGAAAAUCUUGUCUGAGGAAAGAAGAAAUGAAUAUCAGAUGUUAUGAACCAUAUGCCCUUUGAAAAGAUUGGAAUAUUUCAAUAAGAGUACUUAAUAAAGAAGCAGAUGCUGAUAAAAGAAUAGGCAGAAAACCAAAUAAAGAUCCACAAAAUGAUAAAAAGUGGAGAAUAAUAAACAACUUAGAUGUAUGGAAAGAUACAAACAUUGUCUCCAGAGAAGCUCUCAGAAAAUGUGACUUGGGGAUCAAUAAAUCUUAUCAAUCAAAUAUGUAUGAGCAGAAUCAGCAUUUCUAGGUUGAUGACGAAGUACAUCAUUUAUUCAGAAUGAACAUCAAGAUAAGUCAACCAGAUAAUUUUACAAAUUAGAACCCGGGGGUACAUUAAUACCAAGAAACAUUGGUUUCUCACUAUACCAUCAAAGAACUUGAAAGGUUGCAGCACAUUUCUGAAACUUUAAGAAAAUGUUGCUGCCACAACAUGCUGCAAGAACCAUGUUCUGCACCUAGAGAUGUAAAACUAUAAGAAAACAAAUUCUAUAUCACUUCCAUAAUAACACCAACCUGUUUGUCCUCUAUGUUAUACUUCUCAAGAAGCCUUUGUUUCUCUUCUUCAGUUAGCAGUUGAUGCUUUGGCUUCAAAACGUGCUUGGUGACAUUGACAAGCAAGUCAGUAAUCUGAGGCAUGGCAAGAUAUUAGCCGCAUGACAUGGAUUAUUAGUCAAAAAUCAUAAUACAUAUUCAAAUCAUUGAGUAAAUGAGGCUUCCACUUUGAUCAACGUCUUGCUUUGUCUGGGACUCUUGGGAGAUGAAAGAAGCACAUUUAAGUGUAUCUUGUAUUGUUUUCAAAUAACCAACUUAGCUUUUUGCAAGAACAUCUGGUCAUAGGAGAGUGUCAGUUCUAGAUAUCAAUAUAAGAAAGCAGUGGCCACUGAAAUAUCUCCCUCUUUAUCAUCUUGGAAAGUCAUUCACACCAAAACAAAGUAACAUUCAACUCUAAGAAGUUUUAAAUACUUUUCCCAAUUAUAGCUAUUAACAAUGCUAGAAUAGAGUAUGCAAGACUCGCACAUAUAAAUAAGCUUACCCAACAAGUUCGAUUUUUGACUAUACCUGGUUGGGUCCGUUCAAAUAGAGUUGUUGGCUUCAGAACAAAGAGACAGGUAGAGGAUGAAAACGAAGAACUGACAACAGCCCUAAUAAUUUAAAAGCCCAAUUAUUUUGGAAAAAAAACAUUCAGGAACAAAUACAAGGGUUGCCGAAUUCUUUGAUGCACUUUCUAAAAUCACAAAAAGGGAGUGACAUAUAUUACUCACUGCUCUAUCAGAGGCUUAGAGUUGAAAAAAUGGUUGCAGACGACAAAGAGAGCAUGGAGGAAACUGGAAUUAUAGGCAAGUACCAAAUAGAGUAGCAAGUAAUAAAGACUGGAAGAUGAUUGCAAUGCAAAGUUGUAGUGGCUAUAGCAUGCUGAUUCAUUGGCACAAGCAACUUUCACGAUAUGAAUGCACGGUCUGUUUCUUUUUCUUUUUCCCUCUCCAAGCCUGUAUAUUCCAAUUUUUAUCCACAAAAUCCAAACUCACCUUACACCAAAUGAAUGACAAAAUCAUGUAUAGUCUUAAAACAGCUUUGAACAUGCUUAGAGCUUCCUUGAGUAAUUAGUACAUUCUAACGUAAAAUGGAAAAGUAUCAUAAAUCACAUGGAAAGCAUAAACCUCCAAGUGCUCUAAAUUUUUUUGCUGGAAAGUUCCUUCAUUUCACAGGUUCCUUGAGGAGAGGGUACGCAAGCAUAUUGACAGCAGCAGCUCAAAGGCCAAGCAUUCCCAAAUACCAAUAUAUUCAAACAUAAAUGGUAAAUGCAAACAGUGAAAAGAAGGCAACCAACCUGGAAAAUCUCAACUUUGAAAGGCAAGAGAUCCACAGCUUUCAUAGCCUGGCUGGUUAUGUGAUUUUGCACAAUUAGUAUCAGCCUACUUAGAGUGUCUUUGUUCAUGAUUUGGUUUGCAAUACCACGAAUUACAUUUACUUUCACCACAUUAGGCCCACAGAAAAGGACUAGAAUCUGCAUUCAAGAAUUCAAAGAUCUCAAUAGGUAUCCCAAUUUGAUGAUGGUACAUAAUUUCUAAAUAUAAAAGAAGCAGACAACAUUCGACCAAAUAAUAAUCUUAACUUCAGCAUCUUAAAUCUAUAAAGAAACCAGAGGCAGUGCUGUUUAAGGGCAUAUUCAAGAAUUUGUCCAAGGCAUGUCAAGAAAAGGGGAGUACACUUCUACUUCUCCCAAUCUUGACCUAUCAUCAAAUGCAGAAUAGCCAAAUCAGAAAGAGAUAGACACACACACAUGGAACCACAUUAUCCCUCCUAUUUCAGUUCCUAAGAGGCUUGAAGAUUGAGCAUAUAAAACGUGAAGAGCUAAAGAAACAACAAGAAGAAGCAAAGGAAUUUCGAAUUUAAAACUAGCAAUCAGAUACAUAUCAAAAACUACUUUGUUUUUUAAACUCACAUAAAGAGCAACUGAAAUGAAUAAAAACAAAAGAAAAUGCAUGAAAAAACAUUCCUUAUAAUUACUUCAAUUUCCACUAACCAUUAACCAAGUCGAGAUUUCUAUCACUCGAACAAAAAAUACCAAGAAAGGGCUAUAAUCAAAAGAAAAGAAAGGUGCAAAGUAACUAGGCGGACAUCGUGUGCAAAGUAACUAGGGGGACUUCGCAAUAUGUCCAUGGUACUAUUUGACUCCUGACAAUCAGCCAUUUCAGACCAUGCCACAUUGACAUAGAUGCCAUUGUCUGCUUCAGUCACAUAUCAAAGCAUCAGGACCACAGAUGUUCUUCUCCAGUUCCAGAUAAAUGCUAAUUCUGAAAAUAGUAAGAAUCAGACCUGAUGUUAAAGAACCAGAAGUAGAAAAACUGAGGUAGGCUUUCCUAUGCUGUAGUUAAAGACAGUUCGAAACAUUUAACAUGUCAUUUUCUGAAUGGAACUUCUGUGGGAUGAGUGAACAAAUUUCUGGAACAGAUAAAACACACAGAACUUGCUUAAAAGUGCUGCACUCAUGAUUCUGCAGUGGCUACUUCCAAUUCUUUUUCUUGAAACAUAUUUCAAGUGUGACUUGGGUACGAGGUCACAAGAAAAAUGUGCUGUCUGAAUCGCAGAGAGCUGUUAAUUGAGCAUUUGCAAUCUUGUAAUGCAUCUUUGUUAUCUUCAGGGCAUUCAUAUCUUAAAUCAGUUACUAAAUCUCCAAUCUCUUCAGUGAUUUCAUUGCAACCUUCAUUUAGCAUUUCCAUUCACCCAUCUUGUCAAUCUCAGAAUUCAUAGAGGAAGAACCAAUGAUCUUUUCUGGAAGAUCAUGAGCUGCAGGCUAUGUUUUAACCUCACAAACAUCAAGUGUAUCAACAGUAGGUCUUCAUGGACUCUAUUGCAGAAACCAAUAAGAAGGAUUCUAGAGGUUUAGCUGGUCUAUCAAACUAAGUCAAGACAUCCCCAGCUAUCUGUUUAACUUCUAUCUUUUUCUGUGAGUGCCAACUCCAGUUUUUCCAACUCUCUUCAGCCUGCAUGCAUAGCUUAAUUGCUAUACCGGUAAAUUCAUCACAGGAUUCCAUUUACUGCAUGUCAUUGUUAUUAUUUUAUGACAGCAGGUUUAGGGCUUAAAUUAAUGAGCUUAGAUUCAAUCGAAUCUCAAAUAAACCCUCAAGAUUCCACCUCAAUUAGGUCCUCAAAUUGGAUGGCUAGAUUCAGGGAUAACACUACCAUAAUUCAUUCAGAUGGAGGAGUAUACGCAAAGUUGAAACUGUACAAAUUGGAAAGAAUCAUAAGACCAAGAUUUCAAAGGAAAUAAUAAUAAUAAUUUAAACAGAUAUAUCCAGCAUUCCAGCAAAUGGAAUAUAUCCAAUAUUUCAGACAUUUGAUGGGCCAAAUUUGAAUUCCAUUAGAAAGACGGUGAAGAAAAUUAUAACUUAUCUUGAAGGCACUAAAAUUUCUAUGACAUGUGUGAACCCUUUUAAUUCCAGUAAAAUUUGAAGAAUAUAGUUCUCAAGCACAACUUUGAUGUUCUCAGAUACAUUAAGAAAUCAAAACCUACAUAACCAUUCUAACCUAAGCAGCAUUGGUGAUUCCUCAAGGCUCAGAGAAUUGCUUUUCCUUUCUUGGCAACUGUCUUAAGAGCAUUUCUCAUGUCCAGCCAACCAUCUCUGUAAAAUAUGAGUCCUUUUCAUCUUCUUAUUAUUUUGGCUGUCAGACCUUUCUCGUUAUGAAAGACAUUUAAUGAGACUUGGUAACAUAGGUUUUACAAAAAAAAAAAAAAAAAAAACUGUUAAACUCUAACAAAGCAAUACUUUGAGUACUUCCUUCAAUUUAAAUUGGUAGUGUAGACAGCAUAGAGCAAAACAAUAUCAUGUACAAAAAUCAUGCCAGUAUGGCUGUUCAUGCAAUUCCGAGGUGACUGAAUCGGUCUACAUCAAUAUCUGACAUUGAAAAACUCAGGCGCAAAUAUCUACGAGCAGGGUAACCUUUUCACAAGGAGCAAUAACAGAUUGGUGAAUGUGAUAAAUGAAGAGCUUUAUUCGCCAUGUUGAUUAGAGCCAGAGAAAAUAACAGGAAAAGAAGCACAGUUGAUAGGACAACAAUGAGGGAAAAAAAAAAAAAAGAAACAAUUUUCAUCUAAAGGUGCUAGACUUUAACAAAAACAAAAACCACGCAAGUCUUGAGUUCUAGAUUUUUGAAAUAUAACAGAUCAAGAACUAAUAACUUGUCACAGACAGACUAGGAAUUCAUUAUUGACAUUUCAUCAUGAAUGUUAGCAACCUAACAAUAGGCAAACGUUUCACAACUUGAAAGAUACCAGAACUCAAAAUCUGACCUUGUUAGAAGGGUCAUCCUUGUGAAGAGCAGAGAUUCUCAGGCGAUCAAUGUCAGGCUGUUGGCCGUAGUUAUUACGGAAGUCUUGAAGAGAGAGUCCAAUCUCCGAAUUGGGUACGAGAAAACCACGGUCCCUAAGCAUUUCCAGCACAGUUCGGCGUGACAAGUAGUACCUAUGAGACUCUAUGCUACCCUCAUCGAUAUAGCUACUCAAACACCUCGGGUAACUCUCCCCAUCUACAUCCAUUUCCAUUUUCCCACCGACAUCCAUAGCUUUUCUCACCGGGUUUUCAGCUAGGCAAGUUGUGCUCUUUUUUUCUUCUUCCUGAAUGCAAGAAAGCAUUAACCAUUAAACUCAGGGCAGUUCGACAAGGGCAAUUAUAAUAGGGAUUUCCACCUUAUCCUUAUUUCAAUUGUCAAUGAACCUCUUCGAAUUAACAGCUAAAUAAAGUAAACAUUUAACCAGAUAAAUAAUUACCAUUAGCAGAAGUCACACUAAACCCUCUUAGAUUUUUAUGCCAUUAGACCGUGUAUCAUCAAGAAUUAGAGUAAUUUUGUCGCAGGCACAAAUACCAUAAACAUAUUCAAGCAGAUUACACUCUCUUCCCAAAACUAAACUAAUGCAUUUCCAUACCAAAAACAGAUUAGAAACUAAACAAUCAACCAAUUAAGGGAUUGUAGCAACUAAUAUCUAACUUUCAAGAAACCAAAACAAAAAAAUGCUUUUAUCUUGCUGGAGAUAAAAUGAUACACAAAAAGGCAACACAUUGGAGAGAAAGAAGCAGAACGAAAGAUGUUGGGAGAAGGAGAAAGUGAGGGAGCUUGCCUGUGCCGGUGAUCUCUUGCAGUAAUGAGAAUUGAGCGUAGGGUUUAAGCCCUUGGCCUUAAAAGUUAAAACCAGAGACCGUGGUCGGAAAAUGGACAAAAGGUUAAAAAAAAAAAAAAAAAAAGAAUUUACCUAGCAUUUUGAGACUGUCACUAGGUACUACCGUACUAGCAUUAUAUACAUUGUGAUUUUGAUUUUUUUUUUUUUACUACUCUUACUAGCAUCGCAAUACUAGUUUGUUUGGAAUGAUUUGGAAAAAAAAUUCAAGUUUUGUUUUGUUUGUAAAAAUAAUACUGUAGUAUUUUUAUUGAUAAGGUGGGUGUGUGAUUAAAAAAAUUGAUUGAAAAGAUAAAAUGAUGAUUAAAAAUAUAUUUAUAAUACAGUAAUAAAAUUUUUUUAAUGAUAUUAACUAUGAAAGUGAAACAACAUGUUAUAACGAUGUGUUUAUAUAAUAAAAGACAUAUAUAAAUAUAAAAAAUAUUUCUAUAAAAUCUAAAAAUUAUCUGUGCCUAAACAUUUAGGAUAAGUGAGAUAAUAUUUCUUUUUUUCUUUUUGCAAAAGGAUGGAAUAAGGUUAAGUAUAGAGCUAGUGAGAUAAUAUUUCUUUUUUUUUUUGGGCAAAAGGAUGGAAUAAGGUUAAGUAUAGAGCUAUCAAUAGGGUUAGAUCAACAACAAUCAACUUGAAAUAAUUAAAAUCAAGCCUUACACUUCAUUAGGUUUGGUUGAGUUUAAACUUCAAAAUGAGCCCCAAUUAAAUUAAAUUGUGAGUUGACUUUAUACUUAAUGAGGCUCGAUUCGAUUAAAUGUCAACCCAACCAAUUAAGUACAUAAGUACUUAUUUUUUUAAUUCACUGUGAUGUAUAUUAUUUAAUAAUUAUACAUUAUAAUGUACAUAAUUUAUAUAAUAUAUAUAUAUUGAUUAAACAAAAUAAAUAUUAUGUAUACGCCAUGUAUAAAAUUAUAGAUUAGUUGUGAGCUUGUAUCGGACCCAAAUUAGGCCUGAAACUCUUGUAUUUUGAUGAACCAUGUAUGAGUUUCACACAACAAACUUGAAGCCCAAGUUCAAAAGCCCGAAAAUUAUAUUUUGGUCUGUGAGUUGAGUUUUAACUUUUCAAAAUCCGACUCAUAAGACUCGAUUGACACCUCUAAUUAGGUACGAUAGAGUUGAUUAUUUAAAAUUGUCUUUGCACCUUAUUUUUUUUAUCCUUUUUAGAAUAUGGCUAUAAUAUAACCUUUUAAAGAACAUUUAACGAAUUUUACCCUCAACUUUUACUUGGCCCCCUCCAAUUAUUUUUCCAGCGCAUACCCCACUUUUCAUUGAGGGACAAAUGUGUACCGAUUCAUUUUGUUAUUAUUAUUAUUUUUACAUACAUGUGCUUGGCUUUUGUUGACACAGAAAAAGUUGAUCACAAAAUAUAAUUUAGGCUUGUUGACAAAAAAAAAAAAAAAUGUCAGCAUAAGUAGCAAAUAAAUAUGAUACUAAUAAAGAUGCCUCCAUUCAAAUCCAACAACAAACAGACUUCAUUUUAAUUAAUUACAAUCAAAAUCUUGCAUAAAAAAAAAAGAGUCUUAUGUCAACAUUGUCCUUUUGUUGCUGAAAUGAUUAAUAAUUUACUAUUAUUGCCAUGUUUCUCCAAAAAAAGAAAUUUUGAAGUUUGAUUUAAUCCCUAUUUUCGUCCUCUAAAUUCAAAAAUAAGCCAUAUCAGCCCUUAUUAACAAUUUUGGUCAAGUAUAGCAUCAUGCAUAACCAUUUUCAAGCCAUAUAACCAAUUCUGAAAUCAGUCACCUUGCAAACAUGUAGAAAUGAACAUUUGAGAAAUUGCCACCAGUUGGGAAUGGGAAUUAUUUUUACUUCUCUGUAACAUAUACAGAAAAACUGGUUCAGGAAUGGUGGAGUGGUAAAGCAUGGAUUCUAAUCCCAUCAACAGAAGUAACCACUACAAUCAAAGGCCAGACAUCUGACCUUCUCCAUAUUGAUGGAGUAUUUAUCUGCAACAAGAAAUAGAAGAACAGACAAUCAAUGAUCAAAAAAAGUGGUAAAAAGAACUUCAUAUUUGACUUCCACACUGUUGCCCUAUAACCUGGACUGGGAUUUCUUGCAUGAUCUUCCUGUUAACUUGGAGCGCCUUGGCGACAAUGUCGCCAUCGAUACAUAGAUUUGAUCCGAAGACAGCAUCUCCAAUGGUUAUGAGACCUUGACUUCAAUGGCAAUUGCAUGAACUUUCCUACAUUAUGUUGGAAAUGAACAAGCGCAAGUGGAAAAACACAUUAAGAUGUGUAGCUCUGUGUUAAAAAAGCAUGUAACUAAUAAAUUUCAAAGACAUUUAGCUGUGGAAAGAGGCCCAAAACAUUGAGCUACAUAAGGCAUUUUGCACACUGCAGAUACCACUGAAUAGAUAUAUACAGAAUACAAGAGACAUUCAUAUUGACAGACGAGAGCAAACACAUAAUUAUGUAACUAAUCCCCUAGUGAUUUCACAAGCAGAUUUACAUUCAAGAUCUGCUCCUUUUGGAGUUGAUAAUCUCGAGCCAUUGCAUUGUUGUGUAGAUAUUUAUUAGUUGGAAAAAAAGUUUCAGGUGAGAUGUCUGACCGGUAAAUUGAGGUCCCUAUUCCUAAAACUCCCAAAGUCUAUCUUUGAAUCACAAACUUCAAGAUGACUCAAGGCAUGCAUAUACAACUAACUAGCUUCAAAGAAAAGGGGCAUCAUAAUAUCAGGUCAGGUCAGGAGGUUGCAGAUAGAAGCCAAGAUAUUCAGAAUUACAAUUUUCAUGGUGUUGAAGGUUAGCGGAAAUUUGCUGUGAAUCAUUUAAUAUUGCUUGAAGAAAGAUUACAGGGGCCAUACCAACCAGAGGCUUUUGAAGAAUGUACUUUUGGCGAUGAAUGAUAUUAUGUAAAUCAAGUUGAAGAUCAGAAUCAGCUCCUUUAAAAUAAGUGAUGUUGUUUCAUUUAAUGUAGAAUGAGACUUAAAGAAAGUUCAGUGGAGAAGCUUUUAGGGACCAAACUCCUAAUACAUAGUUAUAAGAAACUAGUUUUUCAUACCAAGAGAGGGGCUAGGUUUUUCUUACCUCACCAUGAAAGAAGAAUAGGGUAAUAUGAAGUUUCGACAUAUCUAACAAUUGUCAUAGGUUUUUCAGCCAAAGUAUCUGUAAGACACAUAAAAGAGAUAGAGAUUUGUUUAUCAUAACACCAAUGAGUUGCUCCUUUAUGUUGGAAUUCUUAAGAAGCCUAUGUUUGACUCGGUCACUUAAUUAAGCCAGCACUUCAUGGCUUCAAGAAGCAAGUCAAUAAUCUAAAGACGCGUCAAAUAUUAAGACAUUGCAUUGAUAAGUCAAAGAAGCAUGCCAAAUGAUUACAAAUAAUGCACCAAUUGGAUCACUUGAUAUGUUUAGAAACAAGCUAUAGAAAAUUUAAAGCACAGAAAGGUAGAUUAUUAAAUGAGUGGGACCAAAUCAGACAUUUUAUGUGAUAGACACAGUAAAAGUUCUUUUUAUUGAAAAUUCAUUACUUUGAACCAAAUCAAAACCUAAAUGCAGACUGUUAAGAGAAUAUAAGUAUUCUUGUAGAUAAUAAAUUAGUAAGGGUAUUCUUAUAAAUAGUUUGUUAGGUUUAUACUCCUAUAAAUACUAGUUGGUCACUCAUAAUACAGUGACUAGAUGUUUUCUUCCCAAGAUACCUGUUAACAUGGUAUCAGAGCAAAAGUCCUAGGGUUAGGGUUAAAUAUCUAGCAAAAGUUUUGACGCGAUACUGUUCAUCGUACACUGUUCACGCGGUACUGUUCAUCGCGCACUGUUCAUCGCGCACUGUUCACGCGGUACUAUUCACGCGCACUGUUCACGACGCACUGUUCAUCGCGAAUUUUGAUUGCUGUUUUGUUUGAAGUACUAUUCGCUAUGGUUGAAAGUUUUGCUAAUGGGGUUACCACUGAUCAAGUUGAAUCAAGUUCUUCAGCACAUGGGUCCCAGAAAACUGUUACUAUAUCCGAGGAAGAUUAUGUUAAAUUCUUACAGUACCAAAUUACAAAUCACGCAUCUCUUCCCUCUGCUUCUUUAGCACAAAAAGGUAAUGACUCAUGGAUUAUUGAUUCCGGAGCUACUAAUCAUAUGUCAGGUACCUCUAAAAUUUUUUCUAAUUUUCAAGAGUCUACUCCCUUUUCUAAUGUUACUUUAGCUGAUGGAUCUACCACUAAAGUUAAAGGACUAGACACUGUAGAAAUUAAUCCAUCACUUCCGCUGUCUUCUGUUCUUUACGUAUCCAAUUUGUCAUUUAAUCUAAUGUCUGUUAGUAAGCUCACUAAAUUUCUACAGUGUACAGUUACUUUUUCUCUUGAUUCUGUUGUCAUUCAGGAUUUGAAAACAAAGAGAACGAUUGGUGGAGGGCAUGAGCAUAAUGGUCUUUAUUUUCUCAAUUUCAAUGGUCCGAUAGCAUGUCCUGCUACUGUUUCUCCUCUUGAAAUUCACUGUCGUUUAGGUCAUCCGUCUUUACAAAAUUUGAAAAAGUUGGUUCCUACUUUGAAUCAAUUAUCUUCGUUAGAAUGUAAGUCUUGUCAGUUAGGAAAGCAUCAUCGUGUUUCUUUUGCUCCUAGAGUCAAUAAACGGGUUUCUGAACCCUUUUUGUUAGUUCAUUCUGAUGUUUGGGAUUCUAGUCGAGUCACUUCAAAGUUAGGUUUUAAAUAUUUUGUAGUUUUUGUUGAUGAUUUUUUCAGAGUUACAUGGCUUUAUUUAAUGAAAGAUCGUUCAGAAUUAUAUUCUAUUUUUUGUGCAUUUGUUACAGAAAUAAAGAAUCAAUUUGGUGUGCCUGUACGUAUACUUCGCAAUGAUAAUGCGAAAGAGUAUUUUUUCACUCCUUUUAAUACCUUUAUGACUAAGUCUGGUAUUAUUCAUCGGUCCUCUUAUCCUCACACUCCACAACAGAAUGGAGUUGCUGAAAGAAAAAUUGGACAUUUAAUCGAAAUUGCUCGAGCACUGUUGUUGCACAUGAAUGUACCCAAACAAUUUUGGAGUGAUGCAGUUCUAACUGCAUGUUAUUUAAUUAAUCGCAUGCCAUCUAAUAUUCUUGGAGGUCAAUUACCUCACUCCAUUUUUUUUCCUCAUGAACCUGUGUUUAAAUUGCCUCCUCAUAUUUUUGGAUGUGUGUGUUCAUCAGCUUGCUCCCGGGGUGGAUAAAUUAGAUUCUCGUGCUAUUAAGUGUAUUUUCUUAGGUUAUGCACGAGCGCAAAAAGGGUAUAGAUGUUACAAUCCAGUUUUAAAUCGAUUUUUUACUUGUGCUGAUGUUACUUUCUUUGAAUCCACUCCGUAUUUUAUCAAACAAAGUAUGUCUUGUGAAUUAGACCAGUGUCCCUCUUUUUUCUCUCCUGUUUUACCAGUCCCUUCCCCUUUAUUACUUGAGUUGUCUAGUCCACUAGAUUCCAUAGCUCGAUUAUCUCGUCCUCAUUUUCAAGUUUACUCUCGUCGUUCCAUGGUUGAGAAAGUUCCUGAUAUGCCACGCACUUCACCAAUUAACUCUCAAUCUUCAAAUUCAUGUAUGACGCCCUCCUCUGAGUUAGAUCUUCCUAUUGCUUUACGCAAAGGUAAGAGACAUUGUACUUCCCAUCCUAUUUCUAAUUUUAUUUCUUAUUCUCGUCUCUCUAUGUCAUAUUCUUCUUUUGUUGCUUCUCUUGAUUCUAUCUCCAUUCCUAAGUCUAUUACAUAUGCUCUUAAUCAUCCUGAUUGGAGAUUAGCUAUGCAAGAAGAGAUGUCUGCUUUGGAACAAAAUGGUACUUGGGAUCUUGUCCCUCGUCCUUCAGGUAAGCCUGUUGUUGGUUGUAAAUGGGUGUACACUAUAAAAGUGCAGCCUAAUAGUUCUAUUGAUAGAUUGAAGGCUCGGCUGGUAGCUAGAGGAUUUACUCAGGUGUAUGGAGUAGACUACUUAGAAACAUUUUCUCCUGUUGCAAAGAUUACCUCUGUUCGUCUUCUUAUCUCUUUGGUAGCAACUUAUAAUUGGCCAUUGCAUCAGUUAGAUGUGAAAAAUGCAUUUCUGCAUGGAGAUUUGGAAGAAGAGGUAUAUAUGGAACAACCUCCUGGAUUUGUUGUUCAGGGGGAGAAUCCGCGGUUGGUUUGUCGUUUGAAAAAAUCCUUAUAUGGAUUGAAACAGUCUCCGAGGGCUUGGUUUGGCCGGUUUAGUAGUGUUGUCAUGGAGUUCGGUCUGACAAGAUGUGGAGUAGAUCACUCUGUAUUUUAUCGACAUUCUAAUGCUGGUAAAAUUUUAUUAGUUGUUUAUGUGGAUGACAUUGUGAUUACAGGUGAUGAUGUUGUGGGGAUCCAGAAACUUAAAUCCAAUCUGCAGGCAAACUUUCAGACAAAGGAUUUAGGUCAUCUACAGUAUUUUUUGGGUAUUGAGGUAGUUCGGUCUAAAUAUGGAUUUAUUUAUGUCAAAGAAAAUAUGUACUCGAUAUGUUGAGUGAGGUUGGGAUGUUAGGUUGCCGACCUGUGGAUACUCCUAUGAAUUCCAAUGUGAAAUUAGCAGGAGAUCAAAGUGCAUUAUUUGAUGAUCCUAAGCAAUAUUGAAAAUUUGUGGGUAAAUUAAAUUAUCUCACUGUAACGAGACCUGACAUUUCGUUUGCAGUGAGUGUUGUGAGUCAAUUUCUUGAUACCCCUCGUACUAGUCAUUAGGAUGUUGUUAUACAGAUUCUCAGGUAUCUUAAGAGUGCUCCUGAAAAAGGGUUGCUGUAUCAAAAUCAUGGACACACUGAUAUUGAAGGAUGUAGUGAUGCAGAUUGGGCUGGUUCUGCUUCAGAUCGAAGAUCGACUACAGGAUAUUGUGUGUUUGUUGGUAGUAAUUUAGUGUCGUGGAAGAGUAAGAAGCAAACAGUUGUAUCCAGAUCAAGUGCAGAAUCUGAAUACCGCGCUAUGGCUCACACUGUGUGUGAGUUGGUUUGGUUGAAAAGCAUGUUACUGGAACUUGGGUUUGAGCAUAAACAGCCUAUGAAUUUAGUGUGUCAUAAUCAGGCGGCUGUUCAUAUUGCGUCUAAUCCAGUGUUUCAUCAAAGGACAAAACAUAUUGAAGUUGAUUGUCAUUUCAUUCGAGAGAAAUUACUUGACGGGAUCAUCAAGACAUCUCAUGUACCGUCUGUAGAUCAAUUGGCUGAUGUGUUUACCAAGAGUUUAGGGGGCUCUAGGGUGAAAUACAUUUGUAACAAGUUGGGUGCUUAUGAUAUAUAUGCUCCAACUUGAGGGGGAGUGUUAAGAGAAUAUAAGUAUUCUUGUAGAUAAUAAAUUAGUAAGGGUAUUCUUGUAAAUAAUUUGUUAGGUUUGUACUCCUAUAAAUACUAGUUGGUCACUCAUAAUACAGUGACUAGAUGUUUUCCUCCCAAAAUACCUGUUAACACAGACGUUUUACUGCUUAUUUGUUGACUAAUUUAAAAAGUUGCUGAUUUACUAACCAAAAGAGAAUAUGCAAAGAUUUUUCUAAGAGCUAUUUAUCAAUAAAAAUACAGAGUUCUUAAUGAUAAACUGCAACAGAGAUGUGGACAUUUCUCUAAACGACUGUUUAUAACCAAAAAGGCAAGCCUGCCUGACAAGUAAAUUUUUCUGUAGCUAAGAAUAUAGCGAAGCAUUUUCACCUGGAAUGCACUGCAUCUUCAUCACUCAAGCCUCCUCCUUUUACACCUUCCCAAGGCACCAUGAUAUAAUCAUUGUGCUGCCCCAAUAACAGUUGGCCAUUUUUCUCCUCAAAGCCAAGCUACCAGGGUGCCAUCUCGACUCCAAAACAAACUUCUUGCCCCAAAAUCCCCAGCUUAACCAUCAUCCUGCAACUUCCACCUUUUAAAGGUAAACCAGCCAACGCAAACAUAAGAUUCAACAACUCUAGUUGGCCACCCCUGCCUUGCUCCUUGACAAAAUACAGAACAGCACAAGCUCCGCCUAUGCAUAUUGCCAACCACAUCUUCUCCCAAUCUGAGUACACAGCUAAACCCCAUGCAACUGAUAAUGUCUCCUCCAAUGCAAUCUAACAACCAGCACCAUGCCAAUAUCCCAUCCCUAUAUCUUAGCAUAAGCAUGGUAUUGCAACUUAAAUGAAUUUCUUUGUGAAUACAUGGUGUUGCAAUAUGAAUGAGUGUAAAGCAACUGUUAUGUGUGCACUUAUGUUUCUUCUAUUGCUUUAUGACAUUUUACUUGUAAGAUGGGCUGCAUCAGCUUUCAAUAGAAAAGGAUUUAUGUGAGACAAAAAAAAUCCAAGAGGAAGGAAACCCAGGUCUAAGAUGUCCAGAGCAGUUACUAUAACUACGCAAUACCAUACCUAAAGAACCAACGUUGGAAGUUCCAGAUUACCAGCUGUUCAAGCUCGUGCAUGAACAAUAAAUCUAGUGGUGAGACAACCCUAUACUGCCUUGGAGAAGCUGACUGUUGGUUUUGCUUGAUUUUCCCGAGUGUAUAAGACAAUAAAUUCGCUAUCCAGUGGUUACUGAUUAGGGGCAUCUUUGGAAGAAUGAUCAAUUGUUAUCUUAUCUAGGCUAUCUUUUCAGUCUGGAAAAUCAUAAAAAUGACUGAUAACACCAGAUUGAAAAAUGGAGGAAAUGAUUCACUUGAAAGACCAGAGGGUAAUGUGAGCAUGGAACACAGUUGAAGGGGGGACUUUUAGGAAGUUACCCCUUCUGUUUGUAUGCGCUUUUGAUCUGUCAAAUUUCAUGAUAAGGUGGCUAAUGCACCAAUUUUUUUACCAACUUAAAGGUUUUUGGCCUUUUAAUUUGUUUAAUUUACGUCCAGUUCGUAUAUAUAUAUAUAUAUGGCAUCAAUAAAAUGCAUUUUACAAUAUGGUGAGGAACAAUUAGAAAAAAAAAAAAAAAAAAGCUAGAGAAAAAAGGAAAUUUAGAGCAGAUCUCAAACAGAGUAGCCAUGGACAAAGACCGGAGUCUUGCAAAGAAGAGUUGCAGUGGCUACACUCAGUGCAGCCAGAUGAACGUGUUGGUGAGAUUUUGGGUUUCAUAAUGAUGUUAGUGAGGUGUUAUACAAUGCAUAUUCAGCCAUGUUUUUUUUAUAAGAAGUCAUAUAUUCCAAAAGCUUUGGGAGCUAAAAGGGAAAAAUACGAUAAAUCUAACAGACAUGACACUUAAUUGAAGUAAAAUUUACAAAAAUUUCUUGGUUGUACAUGAGCAAUGAGUAAUGAAAAGCAAAGAUGCGUAUAGGAGUAACUUGGAGGCCAAUAUUGACUCAAAACAUUCAUAGAUUGAAAAACGUAAACAGGAAAAGGUAAGAGAACUAACCUGGAAAUCUCAACUUCCAAAGGUAAAAAUUCACAGCUCAUUUCAUUUCAGCCAACUCAAAAGAUUUCAAGUAUCAGGGAUGCAAUCAUACCAAGGACCUUUAGCUUUUACCACAUUAGGGCAAAGGAAAAGGACAACGAUCUGAAUGCAAGCUUUCAAAGAACUAAUUUAAUUUCAUUAUUGAUGACAAAUAAACAAUUUUUCACAUAAUAGCUGAUGUCAGGAGAAGUGAGGAAGAGUAAGCUAAAUAAAAAACAAUCAACGAAGUUUACGAACAUAUUAAAGAAUUUCUAAAAAUUGGAAUGCCUCAUAGAUUAUGAAAAUAUUCAAGAAUUACUAUGCAUGUCAAACAAGGAUUAAGUACCUAAAAAAAGGCAUCAAGAGGCAAAUGAUACAGAAAAAAGACAGGCCAAGAACAAAAUUUGGCAACCAACAUCUGUAAAAAGUGCUUGAAGCAAACCAGCCAACAUAUGUGAGAAGGCCUUCACUAUAAGUUGGUAAGUUUGACACCAUGCAACAGACAACAAAGAAAAAUUUUACUCAUUGUCUACCUAAUCAUGACACAAGGAUGAAGGAAUAAAGAAUGGGGCAGCACCAACAGCAGCCUGCUUUGCUCAUUAAGCUUUUGAUGAAAGCACAGUCACUGGUCAAAUUUUGAGAAAAGGGGAAUAAGAUUCAUGUAAAUGCUGUAUGCCAUGCCCAAGUGUAGGUAUAGCCUAGCUUGUUUAAACUCCUCACAGAACAGAAAAGUUGAAACUUGAGAAGUAAAGCAUAUAUGCAACAGGAUAGAAUGUAGAACAGACAGACAGUAAUGACAACAUUCUGCAUCAGUGGUAAUUGAUUUGCGUUAUGUUCCAUGCACAAUUUGACAUUCAUUGACCCAAAAGGAUAUUAGACUUACAAAUAUGUGAAACCUGUAAAAGAUGUUGAACAAAAGCACGUCUUUGGUAAAGAGAAUAAAGCCAAAAAAGAAAUGCAAGGAGUUUACCUUCUUGCGCAAGGUAUUCAACUCUAUGUGUGUGGAAAAUGAAUCUAACCAUUUACAGGCUCUUAACAAUGGCCAAUUAGAAGAAAAAAUCAAAAUCUUAAACUACACCAUAGUCCAAUUAUUCCUCAAAAGAUUUCCAGGCAAACCUCUGAGAACCGAGAAACUUUGCCUUCAGAAACUCACGCAUUCUUGCUUCUGCCAGUGCUGUCAGCUUGGUAAAUCUUUCAACCAGUAGAUGUUUUAAUAUAUACUCAACAAAUUUAUUACUGCAGAUCAAAAUUGUAAGCAAUCUGUACCAAGAUUUGUGCAUCCCUUGGUGAGAAUGAGGAUGAAAUUUGACCUUUCAAAUUGCAUUGUGGUAUUCUGAUGUUUGUUAUGACUUGGAGGAUAUAGGAGUUAAAGUGACUCAUAUCCUGUGAAAUUCAUUUAACAGCUCAGUCUAAACCAAAUGUCAUUUGAAAUUGCAGCAUGAUACCAAUGCUCAUUUGCUUGCUAAUUUCUCCAACUAAACUCAUUCCGCAUGUCAGAGAACAUUUUCAAGCAACAUUAACCUUCUCAAUAAACCAAAAAAGAGAGAAAAGAGAAGCGAACAAGGUUGUGUCUUUAUUUAAUAAAUAACACAGUUCACAGAGGCAAUGAACAAGAAUACGCAACAGCUAAACAAUAUAGACAGCUAAAAAAGAACAAUUCUAGAACAAAUCCUCCAAUGACAGAUAUACAUACAAUUCAUUAGCAGGACAAUUGUCUAAAUGACCUCAUAACAAACAGGCAACAUCGGCCAUAUGUAGCAUUCAGGGACAGCAGCUGGGGCACCUAACCAACCCGUUCUCAUUACAAUCAAAACACCUUCUCAAUUUUCCUUCCUCCUCUUCAAAGAU
RNAcentral lists this long non-coding RNA (44706 nucleotides) under Coffea arabica (coffee). RNAcentral's name for it is "long non-coding RNA (CARA_LNC004140)". Lineage: Eukaryota; Viridiplantae; Streptophyta; Magnoliopsida; Gentianales; Rubiaceae. The record is from RNAcentral.